UGAUUAUGUCAGUAGUAAGGGACCUAGUUAGAUCACUAAAGCUAUUGGUUUGAAUUAAGUUGUGGAGGUUGUGAUACAAUCUUUAACUUCAUUCUUCUACUAGAAGACAGAAUUUAUCAUUCCAGGUGAUGUGAUGGAGUUAAUUUUUCAACUUAGGACCUCACUUUGUGUAGAUCAAGACCUUCUAUUUCAAGUUGUACACUGCAGUUGAUCUACUUAUGUAAUUCAUGAAGCCUAUCAGGUGAUCAUCAAUUAUUCUGAAGAAUACCCCUUCUGAAGAAUAUGCCUAUUUCUCUAGUGUCACUAAUGUCACUCGAUUCAUUUGAUACGUCCACAAAUACAUGUCAAGUAGUUAUCUUAAUAAUUUGGUGAUCCAUUCCAAUGGGUCCUCCUUUUUAAGUUGGCUUUCAUUUUGUAUGCUAUUUUUUUUUUAUAAGCAAGCACAAUUCAUUAAAGAGGCUAAAAAACCCCAACGUAUGCAGGACGUAUACCAGGCAACAAAGCCAAAAACAAACAGAAACACCAGAAAACAAACCACCCCUCAACUGGAGGCAAUCCACUCCAGGAAAUCUAAAAGGGAAUGCGGCUCCUCUUCCAUAUACAAUUUAGCCCAACCCCAAAUAUUACAAACAAAAGAAUAUUUAAACCUCUGAAUUGCUAAGACCCCCUCCCCCCCUAAAGGGUAACCUAUUCCUUUCCUUCCAAACCGUCCAAAAAAUAAAUAACGGAAUGGAAUUCCAAAAUUUUUUCUUUUUUUUCCCCACAAAAGAACCCCCCCCCCCCCCCCAACUAUAUAAAACCUCCUUUACAGUAUUAGGGAACACCCACUUGACCCCAACUAAGCCCAACACUAAAUCCCAAAGCUCUCUAGCCACUGUACAAUGAAUAAGUAAGUGAUCCACGCUUUCCGCUUCGCAAGCACACAAAAAACACCUAUUCGGGAGCUGCCAACCUCUUCUUUGGAGCCUAUCAAGAGUCAAGAUCUUUCCCCAAGUCGCUUCCCACGUGAAAAACAUUAUUUUAGUUGGGACUCUUCCCACCCAAAUCUUGUUUUUCGGAAAGUUGACCUCCAUAGACCUAUCCAGCCAGCUGUACGCAUCUUUCACUCUAAACUGCCCACUUCCCCCUCCUUUCCAAAAAACAGAGUCAUCCUCCCAAGUUAUCCUAACUCCUCUCAACGCUUGGAGCAACUCACCUACCAACUCCACCUCCCAAUCAUUGAAAUCCCUUAUAAAACACAAAUUCCAGCCUCCUUCCCCAGCAUUCUGGUCCCACAGGUCUUCAACCUUUGCAUUUCUGUUGGCUGCCAAGAUAUAGAGAUGCGGGAACCUUUGGGACAGCGCUGAAUCCCCGCACCACACAUCAGUCCAGAAGCUGAUUUUAUUACCUUUCCCCACCUUGAACCCCAUUUUGUCCCAGCACCAGCCAGCUUCCUUUAAGAUCUCCUUCCACACCCCCACACCACACGCACCCACAGCCUUUUUGGUCCUCCAACCAUAAUCCUCCUGACCAUACUUAGCUUCCAGCACAUGCUUCCAAAGGGCCUCCUUAUCCGAAGCGAAUCUCCAAGUCCACUUGCCAAGAAGCGCUUUAUUCAUGAUAGUAAACUUCCUUAUUCCCAACCCCCCAUUCUCCUUAUCCCCACACACCACAUCCCACUUAACCAGAUGAGUUUUCCUCUCCAUGAGACCCCCCCCCCCCCAUAAGAAGUCUCUUUGCAAUUUUUCUAAUCUUCUAACCAUAGAAAUGGGCAUACGGAAUAACGACAUCUGGUAUACUGGCAUACUACCCAUAGUGCUUUUAAUUAGAGUGAUUCUCCCACCCUUUGAGAUAUAUUGGCUCUUCCAAAGAGCAAGCCUCCUUCUCAUUUUCUCUUCUACCCCAUCCCAUCCAUAUGCAGCCUUAUUAGGCACCCCCAGCGGCAGCCCCAAAUACGCAGACGGAAGCUGCCCCACCCUACAACCUAACUCCACAGCCAUCUCCUCUAUCCUUUGCACCUCCCCUACUGGAAUUACCUCGCUUUUAGUCAAGUUAAUUCUCAACCCGGACGCGGCUUCAAACCAGAACAAGAUCCAACUUAAAUUCGUUAAGUACUCCUUCUUUGCCUCGCAAAAGACAAUAGUGUCAUCGGCGAAGAGCAAAUGAGCAAUGUGGACAGCCCGUCCUCUGUCACGCUGAAUUUUGCACCCUGAGAUGAAACCCCCUUCCAUAGCCCUUCUGAUUAGGACGCUUAGCACCUCCAUCCCCAUGACAAAAAGGUAAGGGGACAGGGGAUCUCCUUGACGCAGCCCUUUAGAACUGGAAAAGAAUCCAGCUGGCGUUCCGUUACCAUAACUGAAAUUUAGCUGUGGAGAACCACACCACAUCUCCUCAGCCACUAGCGCCAANNNNNNNNNNNNNNNNNNNNNNNNNNNNNNNNNNNNNNNNNNNNNNNNNNNNNNNNNNNNNNNNNNNNNNNNNNNNNNNNNNNNNNNNNNNNNNNNNNNNACAUCCACCUCAGCCACUUAGCGCCAAAUCCCAUUUUUUUCAUUACUUUCAAGAGGAAUUGCCAAUUAAUGCUAUCAUAGGCCUUCUCUAUAUCUAACUUGCAGAUAACCCCCUUGUCCCCCUUCUUAUUCCAGUUGUCAAUCACUUCAUUUGCUAUUAGAGAAGCGUUAAGAAUCUGCCUACCCUUAACAAACGCGUUCUGAUAAUGGGAAACUACCUUAUCUAUAACUUUCUUAAGCCUGUUGGCCAACACCUUUGCCAGCAGCUUAUAGAGGCCCCCCAAAAGGCUGAUAGGCCUAAAAUCUCCAAAAUCCUCAGCCCCUCCUUUUUUCGGAAUCAGCACCAGAAAGGUAUUGUUAAUACUCUUGAGGAACGUAUUCUGGUCAUGGAACUCCUUAAACAUCUCCAGAAUUUCCUCCUUGACGAAAUCCCAACAGCAUUGCCAAAAGAAAACAGAGAACCCGUCAGGACCUGGGGCUUUAUCCCCAUUCAUUUCCAUCAGGGCUGACUAGACUUCACCCUCAGAGAAGGGGGCCUCCAGCAUCUCUGCCUCUUGCACACAAAUUUGAUUAAAAGAGAGACUUCCAAUGUUCGCCUUCCACCCCGAACUUUCGGAAAAUUGCUGCUUAAAAGCAUUUACUACCCCCUCUUUGAUUUCCCGCUCCUCUGUCAGUCUGAUCCCAUUAAUUUUAAUUCUAUCCAUGUGAUUAACUCUCCUAUGGGCAGACGUCAUUCGGUGGAAAUACCUCGUAUUCCUAUCACCUGCCUUCAACCAAAGUUCCCUAGAUGCCUGCCUCCAGUGAGUUUCUUCCAGAUCAACCCACUUGGCAUAAUCCUUCUUGGCAUCCUUCUUGCAAGCUAAUUCCUCCAUUGACAAGCUCCUUUCCUCCUCUACUCUGUCCCAAUACUCCACUUGCUGAAUCGCAGCCUCCUUGUUGCUUUCCAGAUUACCAAACUCCUCCCUAUUCCAAACUUUCAGCUUUUGCUUCAGCUCCUUCAAUUUCGCCGAUAAUCUAAAACUGGCACUUCCCCUUACCUCUAUACCCUGCCACCAACUCCGGAUUAAAUCCUUAAACCCCUCGACUUUGAACCACAUAUUUUCGAAUCUGAAGGGGGCAGGCCCUCUCCUCCAACUACCCUCCUCAAGUAAAACUGGAAAGUGGUCUGAAAUCGGCCUGGGAAGCCUCCGCUGACUCACCCUACUGAACUGAUCAAGCCAGCAAGGAGAGACCAAAAAUCUAUCUAGACGAGCCCUUGACAUGUUAUUCAGCCCCCCAGUCCACGUGAAUGCACCCCCUUGCAAUUGGAGGUCCACUAGGCCUAGAUCAUCUACAACUUCCGCAAACCUCCUCAUAGCUAAAGUUAUUCUCCCUUGCCUGCUUCUCUCACCUUGAGCCAGAGUAAUGUUGAAAUCACCACCUAGACACCAAGGCCCCUCCCAGAUUCCUCUUAUUGCCCCUACUUCUUCCCACAGCCACUCUCUUUCAAGUCUAGUGAACGGGUCGAAAACCCCCGUAAAAGCCCAAAUCACCCCAUUCUCCAUUGUCCUGAAUUUGCAGGAUAAAGAGAACUGGCCCACCUCCCACUCCAGCAACUUCAGAGCUCUUUUAUCCCAGCAGAUCAGCAUACCCCCAGCCGUGCCACAUGCAUUCAAGACCUUCCAAUCUAAAAAUCUACCCGUCCCUAAACUUCUCACCACCCUAUCAGUCAUAAUCUGAAUUUUUGUCUCCUGGAUGCAAAAGAGAUCCACCUUCUGCUUCCUAAAAACCGACUUAAUAACCUUCCUUUUCGUACUUUCGUUCACCCCCCUUACAUUCCAACUUAACAAUUUGAGAUUCAUUAAACAAUCACCAUCUGCACCCCUUUGCCCUGAAUAGGGCCUUUCUUUUUGCCAUCCCCCUCAUAAUUCACUGAGCACUCCAACCUCUUUAGCUCCCUUUCAAACCUCGAUUUUUCCAAUAAUCCUUUACUAUGAAUCUUUUCCCUUCUUUUCCUGAUUUUAGCCAGAAAAUUUAAAAUCUCCUUCUCCAGCCCAUCAGUCGAAAAACCUAGGAAAUGGCUAAAUCUUGCUAGGCUACUUUCUUGCCAAUCCAGGUCCUCUUCCCCCCUUUCAUCUUGAAUCUCAUUCUGUGAAGACCCCCCCUCCUGCUCCCUUGCCGUUGCUAGGGAUCCUUUGAAUUCAACCAGCUCCCAACAAUCACUACCAUUCGCCCUAGUACCAUCUGCCUCUUGCCCUUGAGAAGCUCUAUCAUUUUGGCAGCUCUCCCUAAAUUCCCCAGAAUGGUCAAAGAACUCCCCCUCUGGAGUCCAACCAAGAGAAAGCAUAGAAGAAGAAGAAGAAUUCCCGGAUACCCAUAAACCCCCUGAGAAUGAUAAGGCCUCAUACCUCAUAACUUCAUUCUGGAGGGCACUGUCCACCACCUCCUCGAGUGUAUUGGCCUUCUGAGCGAUCUCAGUUUCCAUCUCCCUUACUCUUAGAAAUUCUAACUCGAUGUUGGCAUCACCAAGCAGCCCAGAUUGAGCCAAGGCCUCCAACGGGCUUGAAUUAGGCUUGCUCGGGCCUAUUCUCUAUGGCGGCCCACCUCGCGGUGCCCCCUUCUCCUAUAGCCCGCUCGAAGACGGCCCACUAUACACUCUUUGGUCCAUAGAUGACCCAGCUCGUGGCCCAUAUCUCUCCUCUAAGACUUUCUCUUUGCCUUUUGGGCCUUUCGGACUGCCCUUCGGCCCAAGCCCAUCACUGCUAACUACUUUUGACGCACCUGAUCCAUAUAUUGGAAUUGGCUAGGCCCCCCGUCCCUCCUAAGACUAAGGCUCACAUUAGAUCCAUUAGGCCCACUCGGGUUCGACCCCUCAUCCGCCCCAUCCUCUAACUCUCGGAGCAAAGACCCGAAUUGGAUCCGGCCCCCCGACAAGACCCUACCCUUCCCAUCCGGCUGCCCAUCCAUCACAUCAUCUGACCGAAGCAGAGCCUCGAGGCCUGCGCUGCCCCACUCCUCCACUCGCCGGGCAAUGCGUGCACCUCCGUCAUUCCCUUCCUCACGACCUUCUGCACUCCGACAGUCCUCCGUCUUCUUUCUGAUCAACGGUGUUGCUUCCCACCACAUCGGUAGGAGAUAUGUGGUCUUGUCAACCCCAAUUUCUAUCGAGCUUGGCCACUCACCUCUUUUCGUCUUCACCAAAAUCCUCGCCCAUCGGAGGUCUUCCAUUCUCUUAGUCAGAUCAUCCAUGGCUACAAAGCCCCCGCACUCAUCUCCUACCCUUCGCAAGAUACUAGGCGUCCAUAACGACAGUGGCAGUCCUUUUACCCUCACCCAUACUUCCUCUUCUAAAUCCCCUUCUUCCAAACACCCAUAGCACGGGCUCCACAACUUCAGAUCAACUUGAAUCCCCCCCACCAACCUGGCUCCACCAUCGAGUGUUUUCCUAGCUUCUGUCGCCUUUUCAAACUCCAAUAGGGCCCGACCCUCAUCCAUCCAGGCCAACCCUAGCUUCCCUUUUAACCCCCAAACACUCGCCAUCAGCCACCCCAUUCUCUCCAAGUCCCCUCCUCCUGCUGCUUUAGGAUCCCAUUUUGCUAUAAUACCUCAAGAGAUGAUCCAUGCUCAUGGGUCCUCUUUUAAGUUAGCUUUCAUUUAUAUAAAUAUGAUACCUGGACUCUCAAACUUUGUCCAACAUACCUGUGUUAAUACGACACAUGGGUGUGAGUGUAGGAUCCUUAUUGGAGAGUUCUACUUUGAUUCAGAUAUGGCUGUUUGAAAGAUGUCAAAAUGGAGUUUGUUGGUAAGUAAACUUUUAUAAUAAUAUUUAGAGAUGAGAAGAAAGGUGAUGAUGAAAGAGAAUAGAGAUUUCUUAUAAAAAAUAUCUUUGCUGUUGAUUAAUUUCAAAUUGAUUUUUUUUCCUUUUAUUAGUUGUAUCCAAGUGUUCUACCUGUGGAAUCCCUAUAUCCUAAAAUUUGUAAAUGUGAAGGAUCAAAUGCCUAGACACAUGCCCGUAACUGACACAUGGGCCCAAAGUUGUGCCUUGUAGUUUAUCAAUGCUCAAAUUUGCAACAAGGACAUGGAUGUAGAAAAGGAUGAUGGUGCUCAACUUAGAGACAUGAAAACAAGGUGAACUGAAAGUUUACAUGACUUAUCAGUGCCCAAAGCUAUUUAACUGCACAUAUGUUUUGUUUUGUCUAGCAUGGCCACAAAGGCUGAAUUAAAAGUUCUUGUCACAUAGCCAUUCAGAAUCCAAAACAUACUAGGGUUUGGCAGUCAUGACAAUCUGAUUAAAUGUAUAUUGUUGCAUGACCAAUUUAAGAUGUGGUUUAUUAAUUGGAUACAAAGGUAGAUUAAAUGUGGCUGGAUUAGAAUAAUCUAGAGAAGCUAGUGAAGAAGCAAGUGGGGAGAGAUGAAGUUAGGCUUUGUUCCUGCACCUAUUUUUGUUCUUUAUUAGUGGAUGUAGCUCCUAUUAAAUCAAGUAGGACAACCUUUUGUUUUUUGUUUUUCCCUCUUAUCUUAUCAAUAGGAUGAUUAUUAAAGGGUUCUUGGUCUUGAAUUGGUGUCUUUGUCACAUCAUCUCAUUUUUUUGGAAGUUCAUGAGGACCAACUUCUUUGCAGGAGAUUCUUCAGAAGGCAUCUGGAGCACUGAAAAGCUCUGUACAAGGACUGCAGAAAGUGGGAAAGUCAGUGGUGGAAGUGAAUGCAGACACUCAGGGAGUACGUUCCAUCUCAAGUAGUUCUCAAGGGGCAGGAGAGGCUGCAAUUCAAGAUCGUUUCAUGGUAUCCAAGAGUGGAGUUAUUCCCCCUCUUAUUGUUGUUGUCUUUUAUGGAUCACUCCCCAAAAAAAGAAGAGAACAAAAAAAGUAGAUCAGUCAAUUCACAUGAUUAAUUGAAUGACUUCCUGUUAUGGCUAAUCAAGUUGCCUAAAAUAUGAUGAAGAACUUGGCAGAGAGGGAAAAGUGUACAUAAGCUUACUUCCCUGUGCUUAAUGUGUAGUUUUUGCCCCAAUUCUAUGUUAUUAUACUUUGUUGCUACAGCAUUGCAUGCCUAAAGGUUGGCGGUAGAAUGAUGGGAAGUUGUGCCAGUAACUCAAGUAAUUAUUUUUCUUCCAGGAUUGGAAUGAAUUAACUAGAUUUGAUCAACACCUAAAAAUGACAAGGAGAAGGAGAGGCAGGGGAAGAAAAGAUUUAUCAUGUGGAUAAGGAAAAUUGUUUUCUGUUGUGUCAUAAAAAUCUUUCCAAUUGGAAUUUCCUGGUUCUGUCUUUUUUCCACUUGAAUUUAGGGAAUAAUGUAUGGUCUGUUUUCAAAGUAGGCAAUUUAUUGCAGAAUUGUAUUUUCCUGAAAUUAAAUUCUGUUUACUGGGCACUGAUGAACAGGUCCCAGCAAACACAUCCACAUCCAUGGAGGAAACGGAAAAUAAGGGAACUGGAAACAGAAGUAAAGAGAAUGGUUAUCUUGAAAAUGCUGUUCAGAAUUCUGGUUUGGAAGAUGUUAUGGUAAGAUGAUGUGAUCCUUGCUUCACCAUAUGUAUUGGUUGUGCUUCCAUAUUUAUAAAUGAUCUAUAAGGGGUGCAAUUUUUCUUUAGUCUAUUAAGAGUUUUAAGGUAGUAUUUAUCUGCAGCCUGUAGGAUUACUUUUCCCCCUCCCAUGUUGGAAUAACAGGGAUAAAAAGUUGAAAAAUAAAUAAAUAAAUCUGUGAUAUAGUAUUCUGGCAGAAGGCUAAAAGAUGUAAAACAGUUUUGUCCACCAGGAAUACAUUUUUCUCCAAUUCCACCCUAGAGUUACCACACAUCUUCCCUUCAUAUGCCAUCUACAAUCCUGAGAUCAUUUCAACCCUGUCAAAAUUUAGUUUAAUAUGUUGAAACAGACCUCUUGGUUUAUAGAUUUACCUAGAAUUUCCUACUGGUGCGGGGAAAUCCUUGUUGAGUUGGAGAAUGGAUUCUAAUUCUGCCAAACAGACCAUAAGCUUAGAUAGACUUGCCUUUUCUUCUUCUUCUUUCUUUUGUUUUCUAUUUUCAAUUUUUGGUUGUUGUUUGAGGGGAGGCUGUUAGUUUUAGAGGGGCCUCUUGCAAUUAAUUUUUUUAAAAAGAAUUUUUGCUUCUUUGCACUUGAGAGAGAAUUGGAAGGAAAGCAGCUUGUGUGUUGCAGUUUUCCCUUCAUUCUUUAUGCAUUGUCUCCACCUCUUUCUUAGCUUAAGUCAGAGAUUACACAAUUCUGGCUUGUGGGAGUUUUAUCCUCAUCACACCAUCUUCAAUUUUAUGCUUUGACAUCAUCCAUUUUGCACUUUCGAAUUUGGUUUUGCUUGCUUUCUCCUUAUAUCUUCUUUUAGUCAGUUCAUUUUUUCUUGACAAUUUUCUCUCCAUUAAUCCUUCAUAGAGUAAUCACAAAACAGGCCAGCGAGAGAUGAAGUCAUCAUUACAAGAGCUUGCUUCUCGGGCAGCUUCUCGAGCUAUGGUUGAAGCUGCAAAAAAUAUCACAGCACCAAAUUCAGCAUAUCAAUUUGAGGUUUCUUGGCGAGGGCUUUUGGGUGAUCAUGCCCUACAGGCUUCCUAUUUGAAGGUUUGCAAUUCUCCUUGUGGUAUAGUCAUAAAGUGAAUCAUGUGUUAGAUGUUCUAAUAUAGUAAUUUAGAUCUUCAAGUAUGCAUGAAUAACAUCUCGAUCCAUAAAUGGUUGAUGCACCGAUUGGUCUUGUCUCUCAAUUUAAUGAGUAUCAAUUUGAUUGACCAGCAUAAACACUGUAUAAGGCAAAUUUAACUAUUGACAUCUUUUUUCCUGGAUGAUCGCUAGAAAAUCAGUGCUUUGAUUGUUAAUAAAUUUCUCAUAAGCGUUUCAAUUGGUUUAUUCACGUUGGGCCUCAUUCUUUCUUCUUGUAUGAUUAGGCCAUAUCACCAAAUGCAUUACCGCAGAUAUUCAAGAAUGCGUUGUCUGCUCCUAUACUAAUUGACAUUAUAAAGUGCAUUGCCACCUUUUUCGUGUAAGUAGAGAAAAUCUCUGCUCCUUUCUUUUUGUUGGAUAUUUGGUCUUCGCAUCUGAACUUAAUAGAUGCCUAAUGCUGUUCUUGUUUGUAUCUUGUGCAGCACAGAAAUGGACCUGGCCGUCAAAUUUUUAGACAAUUUAACCAAAAUUUCAAGAUUUGACAUGAUCAUCAUGUGUCUUUCAUCUACAGAUAAAACCGGUAAGUCUUUCAUCUACACGUGUUAAAAUACGUAUCACUGUUUAAAUCUUGCAUGGACUUUAUAUCACAUAGAAAUUAGAAAACAGUUGAACUUAUUUGGAUUCUUCCCAACAGAUCUACUCAAGAUAUGGGAUGAAGUGUUCUGUAACAAGGCAACUCCAUCUGGGUAUGCAGACACACUUGGCAAACUGCGUCCAAGGUACUGCUUCAAACAGUGAUGGAUCUGCAUAUUGAACAAUGCCUUGAAUUAUCAAGUGUUUUUGUCUGUACAAACUUUCCUAGGUGUAAAUCAGGUAACUUAAAAAUUCUGGUUGUCAACACUGCUUGGUGGGGUAUCUCUGAAAUAUUUAUCGAGUUUUAAAAAGAGUUCUUUUGCUUUGAGUUCCUUCACCAGAUUUAGGUCGUGUUCUUUAUUGUGAGAUCCAACAAAAACACAUCUGGAAAGGAGAUCUUAUCAAUGAUGGUACAUCGAAUAAAAUCUUGGGUUAUCGAAUUGGAUGGAGAUUACUCCUGAUCUUUAAGUUUUUGUUAGGUUUGAGUUAGGUGGAUAGGAGACCCCAGCUCUAGUUGCUGUUGGUUGGGCUCAUCAUUUCUAGGAUUUUAAUACCCGGAGUUUCACAUAAGAGUCGUCACCAAAUUUGACAUUUUCUGAUAUAGAACUUCCAUUGCGCUAUCAAGACAAUGUUGACACUUCAUUUUUAGUGGGAUCAAAUCAUGCUGACCGGCAAAGUGCAAGUUUUUGUCAGCAAUGAAGGAUUGUAGAAUUUGAUGAAGUCACUUUCAACCCUUUGUGCCCUGAACUAUUAGGAACAAGCCCUUGAAAUUCAACUGCCUCAUCGUUUACGUUGUAAUCUUUCUUCUUUCUGGGUGGUGGGUGAGGUUUCAGACCAGGUAUGCAAAAGGUCAGCCAAUUAGGCCGUGUGUUUUUUCAUCCUCGAGCUUUGAUACUGACCUCUAUGCCAUUGUUAAUAUGGUGUACUUUGUAGGAGACGAAUUAUAUAGCCCCAAUGUUGUAUUUAGGUCACUGGUACUGCCAUUUGACAAUGAACUAUGGGUUAUAUUUGAUUAAUUUGAUAAACAAAAGCAAGGAAAAUAAAAUAAAAAUGAAAAGUAGAAGGGAAAAAAAAGUGAAAAAAAUAAAAAAUAGAUUUAAAGCUGAUCAAUAGUUUUUAUGUUAGUUUAAACUUUUCUAACUUAAUUUUACACUUCAAUAUAAAUAUUAAAUAAUAUAAAAAUGUAUACAUUUUUAACUAGUUUUAAAUAUAUUUAAUUCUUUUUAUAUUUUUCAUAAUACAAUCAAACAAAAAAAAAAAUUAUUUUCUCUUAACAAUUUUUAUUUUUUAAAAUUUCUUUACCAAUCAAACAUAACCUUAAAUUUCUAAUAUUGUGGUCUAGAUUAAGGGUUUGGCCCCAUAUGAUAUUGGCUCUAGGGGAAGGGAUGUAGCCAUAACACAAGAGUUUGCUUUGUUGGGGGUUGGAAUAAAUGACCCUCGAGUGAAUUUCCGAUUAUGAAAGCUUGUUUAGGAAUCCAUGACUUUUUCCAAGAGAGAGAAGCCAUGACAUCGAAGUUUGCUUCUUCAAUAAUUGAGAUAAAUCUCUAUGAGCCCGCGUUACAGCCCUAACUUAGGUGGUAAAGAGUGGUAAAGAGUUGCGAUGUGAGGCCUGGUUGAGGUGGUGAAGAGUUGGAUGGGUUUACUAGAGAAAAAAAACUAUAUAUAUAGAAGGAUUUCAUAGGAACCCAUCUCUAUUUCCAAAGGACAGAAGCCAUUAUCCCCAUAAGAUGGUGCACAACUCUAGAGUUUGCUUCAUCUAUAUAUGGGGUGGAUUUCUAGUUAUAAAAAAAGAUUGCAUAGGAAGCCAUUUAUCUUUUUCAAGGAAGAGAAGCCAUUAUCCCCAAGUGGGGCAUCCAAGAAAGUCAUAGAAAAGUCUGGUAUAAUUGUGCCUCACUUCUCUCCACCAUGAAGGGAGAUUGUUCCUUUUUUGCCUUUAGGCCGUUCAAAUUUUCGAGGAAGAAUCCAACUGGGGGUCCAUAGAAUUGAAGCCAUGACCUGCCCCUUCAUCAUUGAUAGUUAUGGAUGGCAUCAUGGCAGUUGGGUGUUUCUCCUUUCCCUCAAGCGUGAACAUUUUCUGGGUGUUGACAAAGGACACCAUCAAUGGUACUUGAUAGCUCCAUUUUUUUUUUCUUUUCCUUUUUUCUUUAUCUUCUAAUUAACUAAUUAUUGAGAUCCAUAAGGGACUUUCCAUAAUUUGUAGUUUUUUAGACAUUACAGCUAGUGCUUAAUGACCAAAUAUAACUUUUAAUCCAAUGCCAUGUAAUAUUUAUUUAAUAAUUUUUUUUGAAAUUAAUAAAAAAAAUUAUCUUUAAUAAAAAUCUUUUUAGUUCAUUAGAAUAGCUUAAUAUAUAUAUGGAUCAUAUAAAUAGCUGAUAAAAGUGAUAAUAAAAAUUUUGAUAUAGGUAGCAUUGUCCUUAUUAGAAGCAAUUUAUUCAAAAUAUAAAUUGAAUUGUACAACAAAAAUAAUUAUGACCCUAUUUGAAUUGACUUUUGAAGAAAAAAAAAAACUCUUCUCUAAGUUUAAUAAGAAAAGUUUUGGUUUAAUUGCCUUCUCCCAUUAAAAUAUUCAUUUUGACUUUCUUUUCAAAUUAUUAUUUAAAAUUAUCAUUUGGUCCAUGUUUUGCAGUUUUUUUUUAGUUUGUUGGAUAGAAAAUGUGAUUUUAGCGUAAGAAAAUCAUUUGAAAAAAUAUAUAUUUUUAAGUAUAAUUUCAAAAUAAGUCUAAAAGAGCCGUUGGAUAAUGUGUUUACUCGGAGUAUUUUUAAUAAAAAUAUUUAAUAAUAAUUUUAUAAAGCAUUUUUAGUUUAAAAUUAAAAAAAAAAAAAAAUUAGAUGCUCGGUAAAAUUUAAGAAACAUUUUUUUAAAUCUAAAAAAUCACUUGUAAUAUUGAAAAACCACUUAAAAAUAUUUGACAAAUAAUUUUUUCAAAAACACUUCUAAAAAAAAUACUUCUAAAAAACAUUAUUAAAUGCAUUUUGUAUUUUUCUAUAAAGCAUUAUAACUAAUUUUUCAAAAUUUUAAAAGUGUUACAUAAAUUUUGUCAAACUUUUAUUUUAUUUUUUUAAAAAAAAACAGGUUUUACACUAAAUUUUUUUUUUUAAAAGCAUUAUCAAAUGAUCUCUAAAACUUAUAUUAUAUUAAGAGUUUCUACACUUACUUGGUUGAUUUUGUUCAAUAAAUUUAUGACUUAAAAAAAAAUCCCUAAUAUAAAAAUCAGAGCAAUAUUACUUCUAGUAAAAACUCCAUUAUGAUUUAUAUAAGAUAAUGUAUUUAAUAAAACUUUAACAAUAAUAAUAUUAUCCUUUAAAAUUUGUGACUUUCGAAGCUCCCAAUUGAAGUAAAACAUAAGUCAUCCUAACGAAACCCUACCUCUACUUCUACUUAUUUUACUAUUAAAAGAAAAGGUUAGAAAUCUUUCCAAUAAGACCCUCUAUUGCACUAUUAAAGAAAAACAAAACAAAAACCUUUUUAAAGCCAUGUAGUAAGGUACUAAUCUUAUCGAGUACCAUUGAUGUUGUAAUAAAAGAAGGCAACCAUCUUAGUAAUCAUGGUUUAUUCAUUGAGAAACUUCAUUGUUGGUCUAACCAACAACUUGAUUGCUCACCAUUCCCAAUAUCAAAUCAAUAAAUAAUUGGAUUAUUAUGAUUUAGCUUCACUUGCAAGUUGAUUAUUUGCAUGAGAAUGAUUAAGGUGAAGUCAAUCAACAAAUCAAUUUAAAUUCAAAGACUCGCUUAACGUGCAAGUUGAUGUUUGAUAUUAUCAUUAUUAUUAUUGCUUAUCAUUAUAAUCUUUCGGGAAAUUGGAUUGAAAGUUUAGCGUGAGUUAUAAUAAAGAUUCGUAUUAAAAAUCGAUUGUAAUUUCAUAAUUUGAUAAAAAAAAAUUAUAUAAAACCUUGUCCCAAUAUUCAUCAAUUGUAAUUUGUGUUUCUUCAUUAAAUUUUAAUAAAUAUAAUUUUACAAUCAGCACCCAGAUCAAGAAAAUAAACUAAUAUUUUACCAUGAAUAAAAAAUUUUAAUAGUUAAAAAAAAUCAUACAAAAAAACUCUUAUCAUUGCCAAAAAGAAGUUAACCACCAAAUGAAAGCUAUUGGUCAAACAAGAAAUGUGUAGAGCCCUUAAUUUCAACAUCAAGGCCAAUCCUUUUGCCUACUCUCUUGUAAACAAACUCAAUGAGUGCUAUGCAAAACCACAAGGCAUUGGAGUUGUUGGGCACUAAAUUCAAAGUUGACCCACUUGAUUUCUCUAGGCUUUUUUUUAUUUUUCAUUUUUUAUUUUUUUAUUUUUUGUGGGGGAUUGCCAUGGGCCAUUUUAUGGGACAACACCCAUGAAAAUUGAAUUUCAUGUCUACUUUAUUAAUGUAUGGAAAGUGGAAUCCAUCUCAAUUGGAAUGACAUUAUUUGACGUAAUAAAUGUUUGUGAUACACGUGAAGAAAGUGAUGAAUCACAUAAUCAUUCAUAAAUUAGGGGUCAUUAUUUUUGUAUCUAAUUUGACAAAUCACAAUUUUUGGUAUUAUAGUGUAUGUGUUGAUAUCCUGUAAAUGAAUAAACAAGGCAUGGAAAAUAUGAUCGAAAACAAAAAAAAAAAAAGCUAAUGCAUGAUUAUAGUAAUGAAAUUUUCACACCAACCAAACAGAACAUUACAGUUUCUAUCUUGUACAUUUAUAAGCUAAUGCAUUAAAUGACCCCUGCACAAAAGUAUAGCUGUAGUAUCACAUUUAAGCAAAAUAUUUUUUAUAUCAUUGGAAUUGAUUUUUAAGAAACCAAAUAUCUUUUUUUUUUUUGAAAAAAAUUAUAAAUAUUAUUUCGAAUUGAAUGUCUAAAUUUAAUAAAUAGUCAUUUAUUGUUCUAAGAAGGUUAAUGCGAUGUUUCUAUUUUUUGUUGUAAAGAAAUCCUUAAUAAUUAAAACUAUUUUUACAAAGUAGAUCCGUAGAUUUUUCAUAAUCAUAUAGAAAAUUUGUAUCAUAUGAUACUGAGUUUGCAAGAAAUUAAUAUGGAAGAUGAAUCAUUUCCACCUAAGAACUAUGCAAAUCCCAUAAUUUCGUUUCUGUUCAUUGGAUUCAAAGUCAUGGAAAAGGGUUUCAAAUCAAAUUCCUCUCCCCCUCCCCCCAACACCCCCCAAAUCUAGAAAAUAAUUAUAUUCUCUUUCUCCAAACACCAAAAAAGUUUGAAAGUUUUCUAUAAUUUAUUUAUUCUUCCAAGUUCUGACACAAAGCUGGCCACUUUUUUCAGGAAAGACUGGCUACAAUCACGUGACACAGUUCCUCAUCCUUCUCUCUCAUGUCUCCUUUAAUUUGUCUCAAACCACGCGCUAUUUUCUGCCUUCUUUAUUGUUUCUUUCUUUGAUUUUCUCUCAUUUUCCACUCGCUCUUCAAACUUGCUGUUCAAAGUUUACACCUCGGUAACAGGGUGGAGACCCUUUGGGAGUGUUUGCUCCCUCAGAUCUGCCUCCUCAGGGCAAGGUAUGGUUGAUUCCUGUUUGUUCCCUUUAAUGGGUGUUCUGGGUUUGUCUUGUUCUUGUUUAUUUGUUAAUCUUUUGAUGGUUCUGUAUGUGGGUUUUUGGUUUUUUGUUCUGGGUUGGUAAUUUUUUGAGUGUACGUGUCAUUCUAGUUUCGGGUGCUUGUGGGUCUUUUUCUCUUUUGAACUGUUGGUGUAAUUUCUCAGCUGUGUAAUGUUCGUGUUGGGUGUUUCUCUUUUGUUUGUUUCUAGCACUGGGGGGGUUGGGGGCGGGCGUUGUUUUCUUCUGGGUUGGUGAUCUCCCACUCUAUAGUUCAUUUUGGGUUCUAGGUAUUUGCAGAAAAGAGGUUAUUUUUAGAUGCAGUUUCUGGGUGCGUAUGUAGUACUUGUCUGUUCUGUCUGGAAUUUAAUUGAGGAAAAAGGUUAGGCCUUUUAAGUUUGUUUUUGUUUCUUCUAUGUUGGUCAUUUUUCUCUUUAUACACUUCCUUUUGGUUUCUGGGUAUUUUUGGUGCAUUUCUGGGUAUAGUGUAAUCCAUUUGUGGGCUUACUGGUUCUUGCUUUGGUCAUUUUGGUGUAAGAUUAUAGUGUUGCUUCAUUGUCCUUUUCCUUUGCUUUGACCAUUUUCAGGAAAUGGGUUUCAUUUCUAGAAGGAUCUUUCCAGCAUGUGGAAGCAUGUGUGUGUGCUGCCCUGCAUUGAGGUCAAGAUCUAGACAACCGGUCAAGCGAUACAAGAAACUGCUUGCAGAGAUCUUCCCCAAAUCCAUUGUGAGCACUUACAGUUAAUCAAUUAAUAUCUAGUAUUUGAUCAUGUACUGUCAGAUGUGAUGUUUAUUUCUCUAUUAGAGUUUCAGGCAAGAAUGUCUCUGUGAGUAAAACCUAUUUGUUUAUCAAAAAAAUAUAAAUGGUGAGUGACAGAGGGCACACUAGAUCAUACGAUAGAAGAAGCCAGUCUCUCUAACUUGUUAUGCCAUGAUGUGGUCCUUAACAGGGGAAAAAAAUCCCCUCGCAAGGCUAUUGUAGCAUAGAUUCUAAAAAAAAUAUCCCUUGGCAUGGCCAUCUGUAGCAUAGGUUCAACGAUCACUAGCUAUUAAGAUUUUAAACAUUAAAUGCAUUUUAAUCAACUUUUUAUUUAUGCUUGGUUAAAGAGGGAACAAGUUCAAAACUAAUGUUUAGUACCUGUUAAACCUAGCGCAUGGAGCUAUGCUCUUUUUAAAGAAACUUUUAGACUUUAGUUUAUGGAGUAUGAUCCCUUUUGGAAUCUUGCACUGCACAACUUAAUUUGGGCAAAGCUGAAUGAGUGGUGUGAGGUUUCAUGGGUAACCAAUUAUUACCGAGUGCUAUAUGACAGUAAGCGUCUUGUUUCCUUGUGGUGCAGCUUCUUAUUCUGUAUGAUUGUGGCCUUACUGGUUUAAUCAGUGUUUCUCCUGUUCUUAGCAGUACCUAGAAUAAUGAAUUUUAAAUUGCAGGAUGGCCCCCCAAAUGAACGGAAAAUUGUGAAGUUAUGUGAAUAUGCUGCUAAGAAUCCUUUCCGAAUCCCAAAGGUAAUGCCUGUCUUAUGAGCUCCUUCUUAUGUCUGUUUAACAAUUAAAAUUGGGUUUAGAUCAGAACAUAAAUCCUAAAUAUUGGGUUUAAACCUGAAAAAUAGUGUAUGCACGGCUGAGUUUCUGUUGGGACAAUCUCUUUUCCAUAGAUAGCAAAAUAUCUUGAAGAAAGGUGCUACAAAGAACUGCGAUGCGAGCACAUCAAGUUCAUUGCUAUCGUUACGGAGGCUUAUAAUAAGUUGCUUUGCAUGUGCAAGGACCAAAUGUAAGAGCUAGUUUUGUUGUGUAUCAUUUUUUAAAAUUUUCUUUCUUCAUUCUAGUGUUUUAGUCAAUGAAUUUUGGUUAAGCAAUAAAUCCCUUAAUCUACCAAUGAGACUAACCCUGUCCUUCCUGCGACAUGCAAUGGAACUCAAAUUACCAUCCAUGAUCUUGUUUUUGGUAGAAAAUUCUGUGCUUUCACAAAAAAAUUUCCCCUUUAAGUUGAGCAUUUGAUUACCACGAAAUCCUUUGUCUCAAUGUAAAGAACUGCAGGAUCAUAAUUCACAUUUAAUGCAUUAAUGAAUUAUGUAUUUAUUUUCCUGUGUUUUGUAGGGCAUAUUUUGCUGUCAGUCUGUUGAAUGUGGUCAGUGAACUCUUGGAUAAGCCUAAGAAAGAUGCUAUGAGGAUCCUCGGAUGCCAGACCUUAACUAGGUUCAUUUAUUGCCAGGUGAAUUGUGAUGCUCCAAUACAUAAUGCUUGGAUUAUGAUGCAAAGUGCACAAACAGAUGGCUUUUCAGGAAAAGCCUUAGUAGCUUGAUUGCAGGGUUAGACCAUUUAGAGAUGCAAAAUCUCAUUUGGUUUGUACAAUGCUGUCUUUGCUAUAAAGGGCAGCUUAUCCUUCCUGUACCCUUUCUUUUUUAUAAUUCAAUGAAAUGUUUCUUACAAAAGAAUCUUGUUUUUCCCAAACAUGAUAGAUGCUCAAGGGUUUUGAUUUCCAUGCUUAUAGGGGGAUGUUACUUGUAUUCCGUUAAUGUGUUUGUGAGAUCCCAUAUUCGCUAAGAGAGAAGCCUCUGACCCUUUAAUAUGUAGUGGGUUACACUUAGCUGUGUAGAUAUGUUUUAAUGUUGUGCAAGCCUUGGGCCCAAAGCAGAAUAUCUGCAUGGGAGGGAGCGGGUCAUUUCAGUGUUACUUUGCAUAUGUUGCUCUUUAACUGUAAACUUCAUUACUUUCAUGAAGAACUGGCAUAAAUUCUGUUAUUGACUAUUGUUCUGAACUGAUUUAUGAACAGGCAGACAGCACUUAUACACAUAACAUUGAAAAUUUUGUUCGUAAAGUAUGUAUGCUGGCUCGUGAGGCUGGGGACGAACAACAAACAAGUACCUUGAAGGCAUCAAGCCUGCAGUGCCUUUCAGCCAUGGUAGUUUGCUUAACUUCUAUAAAUUUCUCAAUGUAUAUAGUCAAUAUAUUCAAUUUUAUAGAAUAGUUAGUGCUACUGCAUCUUUGACAGUCUUUUUUUAUUAGUUUUGCAUUUUAAUGGAUGUUAAAUUUUUUAUUUCUAGAAAUGCAUCCUGGUUUAUUUGAAAGAUUUCUGCCUUUGCAGGUGUGGUUCAUGGCAGAGUUUUCACUCAUUUUCUCUGAUUUUGAUGAAGUUAGUCCUUUUACCCUUUUAUAAUUACUGUCAGUUUCUUAUUGAUCUGUUAAACCUGUUGGGAAAUUAUGGUGGUUCAAAUAUGGAGUCUAUGUCAUAUUCUAACUCAUGUCGGAUUAGAACAGGGAAACAUUACCAUAAUCAUUUGAAAGAAGUUGAAAUGGAAUCAUAUAUUGAAAUUUUGGGUGGCCUUAUUCUAAACAGUUGUCUGUUUAACUGGCAUCAAGAAAUGUUAUCAAGGGAACUAAAAGAUUUGCCCUAUUUGGCAAGAUAUUUGCACUGUGAAAAAAUUCAGUAAGAAUGAUCCAUUCACCAGCCAAUGAUGCGAACCAUGGGGGAGUUUGUAUACCUUUAAUGUGGUGUUUAUUCUUCUCUAAUCCUUUUAGUGGUGAUAUAAGUUCUAAUCACUGAAGAGUGCUUGAAUUGCAGUCAAACCAGUCAGGCUCUCUUCAAACUCGUUUAGUGUUUUUGAUGUUUAUGUUUCAAUGUCUAUUUAUUAUUGUUGGUUUUUCAUUAACUGUUCUUUGUCCUACUUUUGAUCAUGAACCAUAUGCAAUUAUAUAUUUGAUUUAACUAUGAAUCCAAACUGCAGAUUGUGCAUGUUACUUUAGAUAACUACGAGCGAGAUACACAUAAUGGAGAAGAUGAUGAAAGAGGUGAGCCACAUCAUAACUGGGUGGAUGAAGUAGUUAGAUGUGAAGGGAGAGGUGGUGCCGGUGUUGGUAGUGAAAUUAGCCCUAGCUGCCCGGUGAUCAGGCCACAAACUGAAAAGAAAGAUCCUUCUCUUUUGACAAGGUAGUAGCUAACUCAAAAACCCAAAUAAAAAGAAUGGUGUUUUGUUUAUCGUAUUUCAGACUCUGUAACUUGCCACCAUGAUGAACAUAUUGGUUAAUUCCUCACUGCAGAGAAGAGAUUGAGACACCAAAAGUAUGGGCCCAAAUUUGCAUCCAAAGAAUGGUUGAAUUGGCUAAAGAGAGUACAACAAUGCGUCGGGUAUUGGAUCCAAUGUUUGUCUACUUCGACACUGGGAGGCACUGGGUUCCUCGGCAGGGCUUGGCCUUGGUGGUUCUCUCUGAUAUGUCCUACUUUGUGGAGAGUAUGGGUAAAUAUAAUCUCUCUUUCCACCUCCUCUCAGGCAGUUUAUACCUAAUAUCUUUUACCAGUAAAAAAAUUUACUGAUUUAGUUGUGUCAUUUAUUAUUUGUCCGAUAGCUGAACAUUUUAUUUGUUUAACUAGGAUAUGUCAAAGUAUUUUUCAGCAUAUACAUUGGUAUUUCAAUUUGAGCACUUUUGUUUGACGCAAAAAUGCAAGAGGUAAUGACAUGCCCAUUGAGAAUAAUCCAAUGUUUGAAUGUAGAUUUAUAGAAAAACGCAUGCAUAUCCACAUGGAAGGAAGGAGUGUCAGUAAAAUAGAAUGGAUAAAAUGAAUCUAAAUUUGAUUCAAUGGAUUUAAUAUUUUGUGAUACAUAUAGUUUAUAUGUUUUAAAACUUGUUGUAUGUCUUUUUUUCCCCUGCAUCUAGAUGCAUUUGGGUCAAAUGUCUUCAACCUGACGCUUUAUAGCUUCUAUGAUCAAUUCACAUACUGCAAACAGGUUUUGAGCCACAUCUCUUCCGGUUACAAUUUCCAAAUGUAGUUGCCAAAUUCUAAAAGACUAGAAGGCUAGUAAAUCUAGAUACUUCUGCUAAUGCAGCUUCUGUUUCCAGGGGACCAGAAAAUGAUUUUAGCUGCUGUGAUACGCCAUCUAGACCACAAAAAUGUUGCACACGAUCCCCAAACCAAAUCUUAUGUUAUCCAAGUUGCCACUGCUUUGGUUCAUCAAGUCAGAUCAGGAGCCAUACUGGCAGAAAUUGGCUUUGUCAGUGAUCUGUGCAGGCACUUGAGAAAAAGUCUCCAGGCCACUGUUGAAUCAGCAGGACAGCAAGAAUCGGACUUGAAUAUCUCUCUCCAAAACUCAAUUGAAGAUUGCCUGCUAGAAAUUGCCAGGGGGGUAAGUUAGAGUCUGUUUAGCAUUGUUUUUAAAAAGCACUUCUAGACUAAAAGGUGUUUUUGAAGAAAUCAGACAUUUAACAAAAAUUAAAAAACACUUUUAAAAGGUUGAAAAAUCACUUAUAAUACUUUUUGGAAAAAUGUUUGAUAGGUGAUUCUUCUAAAAACACUUCCAAGAGAGACACUUUCAAACACUAGAAAAUUUUCAUCCUUCAAGUAUUAAAAUACUAAAAACACUUCCUAAAAUCACUGCCAAAUGUACUCUUAGAGCCCAUUUGGUAGUGAUUUUAGGAAGUGUUUCUAGUAUUUUUUAUAUUUGAAAUUUUUUAUCUUUUAGGUAUUAGAAAUGCCAAAAACACUUUCUAGAAUUACUGCCUAACGCACUCUUAGUUACCUUUGUGUUACUUGAAAUUUUUUCUUUUAAUGGGGCUUGUAAUCUAUAUUACUUUUGUGCUGGUUGAUAUUAGAUUGGCGAUGCACGACCACUAUUUGAUAUGAUGGCAAUAACUUUGGAAAGUUUGCCAUGUGGUGGGGUUGUUGCCCGGGCAACUAUUGGAUCUCUGUUGACCCUGGCUUAUAUGAUUUCACUAGCAUCAGUCUCUUCAUGCUCACAGCAGGUAAGAGGAGUUUGGUAUUCUUAUGAUAUCUUUUAAAACAAGUUUUUGGAUUGUUCUGCCAUUCUCUUAUGUUCUGGGUCUCUCUGCAAAUUUGUUGUUGUAAUGUCACUAGAUAUUACUAGCAUGUGCUCCUUUUAUUCCCAGCCCAAUAACCUUUUUGUUUCUCAAAAACAUUUUAAUGCAGGUGUUUCCAGAAUCACUUCUUGUCCAACUUUUGAAAGUAAUGUUGCAUCCAGAUGUUGAGGCACGUCUUGGAGCACACCAAAUAUUUUCUGUUCUUCUCAUACCAAGUUCUAACCAUCCUAGACAAACGGUUGCUUCUUUGCGAUCUGGUUAUCUUUAUGAACAAAGAAGAUGGCAUUCCAAUACUGCAUCUGCAUGUGCUUCAAUUACUGCUCGACUUGAGAAGCUCCGUAAAGAGAAGGAUGGCACUAAAAUAGAACAUGGGAAUAAUGUUCAAGAUGAUCUUAAGGAAAAAGAAAUUGCUGAAGAAGACUGGAAACAUGGGCGGGCCCGCAAGAAUUCCCCUAAUUUUUACAACUUAAGUUCUAUUAUUGACCGGACAGCUGGAUCAACCAGCUUGACUGAGUCCGUAAGCAUUUUUUGUUAUUUCCUUGAGGAGUUGUGUGCAUGUUCAUGUAUUUGUGUAAUUAUGAUCAGUUUCACUACAUUAAACAGUAAGCAUAAUUCAUUGAUUGGCACAGGAACCAUAUAUUCUGAAGGUUAGUGAGGACCAAAUAGCUCAGCUCCUGUCUGCCUUUUGGAUUCAAGCCAAUCUUCCAGAUAAUUUGCCUUCAAAUAUUGAAGCUAUAGCUCAUUCUUUCAGCUUAACGCUUAUUUCUUCACGCUUGAAGGUAACAUAUUUUUUCUUCCUCCCUCCCUCCCUCCAUCUCUCUUUCCUUUUAAAGUUCUCGAUGAUAGAUUUCUACCUUAAAAUGCAAUGUAGGAUCCAGUGGAGCAGUUUGAUUCUCAUAGGGUGUUAACUAUUUUCCUGUAUCACUUGUGUUUAAAAUCCUUGCAGUCUUUUUUUUCUUUAUUAAUUUUUUGUUUUCUAAAAUUUUCUGUGGAUGGAUACAUGUAGAUGUAUAUAUUGCUGUGCUGUUGUCAUUACUCAUGAAAUCUCUCAAACUCUGUAAUGUUGCAGAACCCCAAUGACAACCUUGUGGUCCGCUUUUUCCAGCUUCCCCUAUCUCUGAGGAAUAUAUCCUUGGACCCGAGCAAUGGUAUGGGCUAUUGAAUUUCUUGAACAGCCUUUCAUAAUUUGGAGAAUGUUGAGGAUGCACAAUUCAAACUUUUCUGCUUCUUUGGCAGGGACGCUGUCUCCGGCAUGCCAGAGAUCAAUCCUUGUGCUGUCAACUGGGAUGUUGAUGUUUGUGGCGAAGAUUUAUCAGAUUCCCGACCUUAAUGAUUUGAUGAAGACCUUAGUUCCAUAUGAUGUGAGUUUUACUCUGUGUGCUGCCAACCAAAAUGCCUGAUUUUCUAUUGACAUUCAUUUUUUUUUUUCUGAGGAAUGUAUUCUUAACAUCAGGUUGAUCCUUUUGUGGCCAUUAACGAUGACCUUCAAGUAUGUGUAAAGCCUCAAGCAAAUGUGAGAGAUUAUGGAUCUGUCACUGAUAAUCAAGUUGCAAUGUCAUUGCUUUUGGAGUUACGAAACAAAAUCUAUGAGUCCGACAAGGUCAUAAUGGACAUCUUAAUUCAGAGUCUAUCUAGCAUUACUGAGGUACGCCAUUUCAUUGUGGGUGAGUGGGUGUGUGGGUGGGGUGACACCUACAUAACUACCUAAUACAUGAUAGUUUUGGAUCUAAAUUCAUCUUUUUCUGCUUGUUAAGUUGGAUGCAGAUGAACUGGCUAAGCAACUGUCUGAAACAUUCACUCCUGAUGAUGCAUUAUUGUUUGGUCCACAAUCAAUAUUCGGCCUAGAACACAUUCAAACGGUUUCACUUCCCAAGGAAUCACUUUCUUUUGAUGGGGUAUGCUCUCUUGUGAUCAUUAUCUAUUGUUUUUUGAAAUUGCAUUAAUUUGGAGAUAAUUUCUCAUAAAGCUCAAUUUUUGGGUGUGCUCUUUCACAAACCAGCCACCAGCCACCUUUCCAAUUAGGAUUCAAUCUAUACGAAGGAAGAGUCAUGAUAAUAAUUGAAAUAAGAUUUUAUGAUUAUGAUUGUCACUUUUGUUGCAGGAUUUUCCACCAAAUUCAUUAGUUGAGGAAGACCUGAUUAGCGAAUCAUCUGUUGUAGACCUCUCCCGCUUCAUUCCCAAAAUGCCUGCAUCCCCUUCUCUGUCGCACGUGAUUAGCAUUGGGCAGCUGCUUGAAUCGGUAAUCUCUCUCUUUCUCUCUCUCUCUCUCUCUUAUCAAAAACAUGCACAUUUGUAUAUGAAUUUAGUGAAUCCCCCUAGUCACCUUUUUACUUUUAUUUGAAAGCUUUCUUUACUAUGGACCUGAGGGGAUCUGGAGUUUAAGAUUAUAAGCUCUGAUGGCUGACUUGAUCACAAAGGUUUUCCCAAACAAAGGGCACAACAAAAAUAUGUGUGCUUGUGCAGUGGAUCUUUCCCGACUAUCUACUUACAUGCAAGCAUCCAUUGAUAUGGGGUUUGGAGAAUAAAAACCCCCAUCCAAAAUGACAUUUGAGAUUGAGUGAUGCAAAUUCUUCCUAAUGUUUACAAACGGAUUUGUUCUCAGGCGCUUGAGGUAGCUGGUCAAGUGGCUGGAACAUCUGUCUCGACUUCACCCCUCCCAUACAGCGCCAUGGCUAGCCAGUGUGAAGCUCUUGGCAGUGGCACCAGGAGGAAGCUCUCCAGUUGGUUGACCCAUGAAAAUGGUUACACCAUCGGACCUGACAAACCGUUUCCAACAUUCCCUGCAGACGGGUGCUCAGCAAUCACAAACGUGAGAACUUAAAUCCAUUUCAGGGUCAGGAUUCAGACCCAUAAUGUAUAUCAUGCUCUAACAUAGCUCUGGUUUAUGCAGAUCACAAGUGAUGGCAGGUCUGUUCCUGGUGGCAAGUUAUCGUUGGAUCCAUGGCUGGCAAUGAGGCUGCCUCCUGCGAGCCCAUUCGACAAUUUCCUCCGAGCAGCUGGCUGUUAAAGAAAAGGAGGAGAAGCUAUGCCAUCUCUCCCUGUUGUGUCUAACUCUGUAAAGUGAUGGGUACUGAUUAGAGUUCUUACUUAGCUCAAUGUAUGAUUUUACACUCAGAACUAAGAUGUUUUCAGUAUGUUGUAUCAUUCUAUGCAUUAUUCUCCUCGUACUUCGAUCUAGUCUGAGUGUUUGGUUAUGAAUCUCUCACUCUCUUCUGUUGUGUGGGUUUUUUCUCCUCUUUUCUUCUGACUCAGAAAAGCCUGGAAAAUUUUUCUGGGUUUCUUGAUUGUUCUUUGGCAUGGCACCUAGCAUUUGGGUAUCUGCUUCCUCAUUGUAUUGCAGAUUACAAGUCCUUGCAACUUUUGCAGCAAAACCUAGUUUCAUGGGAGGAUGAGAGUUGAAAAUGUUGAGGGGAAAAGAUUUUACAAAUUCUAUUGAAGAUAGAUUUACAUAAAUUCUCAAAUUCUAGGAAAAUGCCAAGAAAUUUAAUGGGCUUCUUGUCCUAAGGUGGUUAAACUAUGAGCCAUUGAUGUGUGUAUUGUAAGGGUUUGUGAGUGAUUUUAAAGUAGGUUAAAAAUAGUAUUACUGUUUGAAAAAGUUAUUCUUAUAAAAGUUAGACAAUUAGGCUUGUUAAAUAGGAUUUAAUGCGUUGCAUUUAUUAACUAGUCUAAUCAUUUAAAAUUCAAAUAGUGGUUCAAUUAAUAUAAAAAUUUAUGGACAAAAUCGAUAUAAAAUGAGUAUUAUUUCUCUUAUACAUAAAACCAUAUUUUCCUGAUUUUUUUAAUGAUAAAUAAACUCAAAAGCAAAUAAAACUCAAUGUGUUGAAUCCAUUAAUUAGUCUAGUAAUUUCUAAAAAUAGGUUGAAGCUCAAAUAAUGAUCUAAUUAAUACUAUAAAUUUAAAAACAAAAAUGGAUUUGGAUCGAUUCUAUAAAUCUCUUUAGAAUUAUAUUUUUUCAUUUCUUUUACUAGACAAAUAAAAUUCAAAUUAAACAAGACCUAAUGCAUUAGAUUCGUUAACAAUUUAGUAAUUUUUAAAAAUGAUUUGAAACUCAAAUAAUAAACCUAUUAACAUAAAAAAUUUAUGGAUAAAAAUUAGUUUAUAAUAACUAUUUUUUUUUUUACACAUAAUUAUUUAUUUUUUUUUGUAAAUUUUAUCUCUAGAGAAUGGAAUGUGGGCCCAAAUAUGUGUUAGUAGGCCCGAGCCCAACAUCCAUAUUUUUAUAAAAUUUUAGAAAAUUAUUUUUUAUUUUUAAUUUAAAAACAGUUUUUAAAAACAAGCAUAGAAAACAUGGCGAAACUGACCAUAAGCCUCCUAAGAACAAAAUAAGUUUUUUUAGUAAGUAAAAGUGGCACGAAAAUGGAAUAUGGGCCCAAAUAUGCGUUAGUAGGCUUGAGCCCAAACACCCGUAUUUUUAUAAAAUUUUAGUGUCGGACCAAGCAGCACUAAGCCUCUUAAUAGCAAAAUAAGGGCUUUUUUAGUAAGCAAAAGUGGCACGAAAAUGGAACAUGGGCCAAAAUAUGUGUUAUAGCCCUGGGCAAAUCCAGCCCAUAUACGGCCCAAAUGCAAAUGCCAGCCCAAUCGCAACGGAACUCAAACAGGCUACAAAAGCGAACCUAGUGGUUGACGUCUCUCAGUUCCACUCGUUCGCCAUUUCCAGGUUCUCUCUUUUUCUGUCUCUGUAUAUAUUUAUUUUUAAUUUUUAUUUAUUUAUUUACUUGUAGAUCUGAUAGAUCUAGCUUGAUGAUCUGCUAUUUCUAGUUAUCGAGAUAUUUUUCUUGUGGUUGAUAUUAUGAAUAUUGUUGGGUUUUUUUUGUUUUUUUUUUUAAAUUUAUUUUUUAGUAAAAAUUUUGGAUUAUUUCUGAUGAAUCUGUUGUUAUUCCCGUUAAUUCCCUACUUCCAAUUACAAAAAAGAAAAAAGAAAAAAUAAUAAGAGCCGUCCAAAAUAGCCAUCGAAAGUCUGAAUUUAUUUUUUUUCCUGGUCGGGGUUGGUUGCAUAUUGAGGGAUUUACAGUAAAUUCCCUAGUAUAGGCAAGAUGGAAUUGAAUUCGCGGUGGUUCGAAUGAUUUGGUUGAAUUUUGGGGGGAAACCCUCCAAAAUAGUCAUUCAAGUUCAAUUUUUUUCCCUUAUUGGGUUGGGGGCGCGGUUUGUAUAUUGAGGGACUUACAAUAAAUUCUCUAUCAUGCUAUAGCAAGACGGAAUUGAAUUUGUGGGUUUGAAUAAUUUGAUUGAAUUUUGGGAAUUUGAGUUUGAUAAUACCCUUUACAUUUUAUGGAUUCCAUGUAGAAAUUCUUGAAUUCUGCACUAGAAUUGGUGGGCUGGGAAUUUACAAUGCAUUUUACAGAUUCUAUGUUUAUUGUAAACUAUAGCAAGAUGAAAUAUUUGUGGGUUGGAGGAAUUUGCUUGAAUUUUGUGAAUUUAAAUUUGAUGAUACACCUAAUAUUUUAGGGUUAUUUGAUUAAAAGGAAGAUUGAAAAAUGCAAAUUUGUAAGAAUGUCCUCCAUCUUUUAAAAACAUGAAAUAUAGUCUCUUUUGGAAAAAACUACCCUUCAAAUUUUUUUUAAUCCCUAUUUCACACAUCAAUCACUUUUUGGAUGAAGAGUUAAAAGGUAAAAAUGUCAAAACAAGGUUAUAUAUGUAUAUAUAUGCAAUUUUCAAUAUAUUGAAGUUGUUUUUCCAAAUACGGGUGUUAUUUCAUCCUUUAUAAUCAAAUAUUUCUAUAUUUUAUGGAUUCCCCAUGAAAAGAUUCUCGAACACUGCAAUAGAAUGUGUAUUUAGCGGAAAAAAUGUGAUCGGAUUGGUGAGAAAAUGGUUUUUGGAGCAAUACUUAGGUUUGAAUGUGUAGAGGAACCUCCUAUCCCCAAUAAAUGGCAGAAGUUGAUUCAAUAGUUUAGGGUAUCUAAAAUAAAGUUUGGGUAACUGUUUCUGCAUAAUGGGGUGCGAAGAGGUUUCUUGAUGGUGGCGCUUCUGUAAGUGCUGCAGUGUGUAUGGCAUUUUUCUUGUGUAUCAAGAGUGCAGCUUGAGUUUGUUGGCAUUAAUAUUGCCAGAGUCCUGUGAGGAUGAUAAUGUAAUUUCCCUUGCAUUUAUAUAUCAUUUCUGGGAUGAUAUCUAACCUGUAUCGUCUAGAAAUAUGGCUCUAAUGUUUUUAUUUAUAGAACCACUCCUAAAAAUGAUUUAGAAGCCUGUUGGUGCUAAAAUGCUUAUUUGUUAUGACUUGGAUGGACUGAAAAUUAUUUUCAAACAAAGUUUUCAAAAGCAUUUCUGAGGCAUGCUUCAAGGUGUGCACUGAGGUGUUAGAAAAAUUGCAAGACUCCCAAAAGGUGUAUGCCUUUGGGGUUGAAGCUCAUCUCAGACAUGCUUUUGGUGUGCCUUUUGCACACUGUUGCAUGAGGUGUAAGCUGAAGAUUCUCCUUGCUGAGGUGGCUUGGAAAAAAUAAAAGGAAAAAAAAACUAUCUUUAACCCCAAAGAUCCCACAGAAGGUGAAAUCAAAGAGACAUUAAAAAAAACCUUAACCCUUGGUCUUGCUGUCACUGCAAUACCUCACUAUUGCCAGUGUUGCUGUCACCACCACCAUCUCUGGCCAUUCUUAACAAUGUCAAUGGCUUCUCACCUUCGUUCUAGUGUUGGUAGCUUCUCUCCCUCUCCCUCUUGUCUAUUGCCAGUGUUGCUGUCACCACCACCAUCUCUGGCCACUCUCAACAAUGUCGACAGCUUCUCACCUUUGUUCUAGUGUCGGUAACUUCUCGCCCUCUCCGUCUUGUUGUGCUCCAUCAUGCCUGCUAAGUCUUCUCUCAUCCCCUCUCUCCCGUAACUUUCUUUCCCCUCUCCUUUAUUUUAACUUUUAUCUCGUCUCCCACCCUCCUUUUUUAUUUUAUUUUUUCUAUUUUUACUUUUUUCCUUUUAUUUUUAUUGUCUAUUUUCCUUCCUAAAUAGAUUCUCACCCUACCGUUUUUCUUAACAUUUAUUUUUCUUUUUUACAGGACAAGGUUUCUUAGCCUAUUUUUUCCUUUUUAUGUGGCAAAAUUUCCAAAGUAAAUAAAAUUUAUUAAUUUAUCUUUCACUAGAUAUUUGUUUUAGUGUUGGAUAUUUGUGUUGAUCUUAAUAAAAUUUAUUACAUAUCAGUAUUUAAUUUUGAAAUUAUUCAUUAACAAAGGGACCUAAAGAAUUUCAAUUCCAUUAUCCCAAUUUAGUUAUUAUUUUUCCAAAUAGAAAAAAAAAAUUAUGUAAUUAAAUAUUUGUUCUUUAAUGUACUAAAAAAAUUUUGUAAUUUAUUUAAUAUCAUUUUAGUAAAAGUUUAUUUAAUUCAUUAUUUUUGUAUAUGUCAAAUUAUUUUUAAAUAUUUAUUAAUUAGCCAAAAGGCUUAUGCUUGCCUCACAAGCACAAAACAUCUUGUCUUAUAUGCCUUUGCCCUUAAAAACUUUCUUUGCAAAAUUAGAACUUCAAAUUUUUGGGAUCCAUUCUGUACUUUGGUUGUGUUUUCACUUGUGUUCUUGAGCCUUGGAGAAAUGCUUUCCAAUUUGAUUGGGUUUGUGUUCUCUAAUAAACAUGGUAGCUUUAAAUGAAAUAGCCCCAUUUCUUCUCUUGAUUCCGCGUACUCUUUCAUUCAUAUGUUUGUUAACCUGAAAUUGCUGUAGCUGGGUAGUUUGCCUUUCAAUUCCUUGAUGUUUUCUUCCCUCUUUUUAUCAAGUAUUUGAUGGAUGCAGGCUUCAAAAUAGAACAUGGUAUCUUUGUAGUGCAAGUGUCAAGCUCAAUGGACAAGUUGUAUGUUUAGAACUGUGCACUAGAUUACAAUUAAUUGCAUAAAGAAAAUUGGAUAACUAUUAGAAAGGUGAUAAGAUGAACUUAAGUUUUGGGGAAUUUGAGAACUACUCAAGACCAAAUUGGUUUGAAUCAAAAACAAAAAGCUCUCAUUUAUUCUUCGACAUUUUAAGCCGAUCCACUUUAAACAUGUUGUCAAGUUCUCAUGAUUUAAACCAUCCUGAGAUACACUCAUCGAGAAGUGCCACUACAACAUACUUGGGCUUGGUAUUUUGGUUUUACAGUUUUUGGAGAAAAUGUGAUUAUACUCAUAGUUGAUAUAGAUAGCAAUGACCUUCAUAAAGGCAGGGUUUUGGUGGAAUAGAAGUGCCGUUUUAGGUAUUCUUGAACUAAUUUUCUUGUCAUAAUUAUUCAUAACAUUCCCUUUCUAUGUGCAGGAAUUGGUUUAUAACUAGAUAAGCAAAAUGGCUGCUCAUAAGAUUGCACAUGCCACCUUGAAAGGUCCAAGUGUUGUGAAGGAGAUCUGUAUCGGGGCCACACUUGGCUUGCUUGCUGGUGGCUUGUGGAAGAUGCAUCACUGGAAUGAGCAGAAAAAGCUCAGGACAUUUUAUGAUAUGCUGGAGAAAGAUCAAAUUAGUGUUGUUGUGGAUGAGUAGCUCCCCCGUAUCCGUUUUGAUUCUGUCAAUGUCUUCUCCUUUAGCAAUUUGGUCAGCUUGGGUUCCUCAAGAUCUAUUCUAAGAUGCAAAUGAGCAUACUUGGUUAAUCACUGGCUAUUGAGAAAUAAGUUUUUUCUGAUUCUGAAACUUGUAAGACCGAGGCCAUUAUAUCCAGUAAACCCUUUUUCUGUUGUGUUUUGCCGUCAUGAUUAAUUGAAAUGCUACAGAAGAUUUCCAUGCUAGUGGUAUAGCUUUUAGCUAAUUCCAGAUUAGGGUUCCCCGGUCUUUCUAUAAAGCGUCAUAUGCUUGAACAAGUUUCAAAACUAAUCCUAAACAAGGCUGCAACCCUAAAUUAGUUUUCAGCUCAUCCUUUUACCGUCCUCCAUACAAUAUCAUCUGUAUGCCUGUGAGCAAUUACAGGAUGAGUUAGCUUAUUUUUUCACAUGAUCAGUUGAAAUGCCAGCAAAAUCAUAGGAUUAGACCGAGUUUGAUGCUAACCCUAAACAUAGCUGCAACCCCAAAUAAGCUUUCUGUGCAUCCCAUCACCAUCCUCCAUCUCAUGUCAUAGAAACUACUAAAGCAGAUGGAUCUAGUCUAUUAGUUCUGAUAAGCAAUUACAGGUGUCUGAAGAAAUAUAUCUUGGGAUGGAUUUUGAUAAAGUUGGAAGUAUGGGCUUUGAAAAUUUUGACUAAGCUUGUCCCAUGUUUGGAAUAGCUAGGCCCAGAAGUUUAGCAGCAACCAAGAGAAUCCAAGGUACUCAAUCCACUACAAGUGCUAAAAUCUGCCCACCAAACAUGCCAUCUUCAACCUCUCCUGCCCUGUAUCUAAAAUUUUGGGUUCUGGGUCAGCUCAGGAAAUGUUGUUAGGGUUUGUAUUAGGGAAAUGAUGCUGGUGUUAGGGUUUUUGAAUUGGGGAAUAUGGGGUUGCUAUUAGGAGGGCUGUGUAUGGCUUGAUCGAUUACUGAUUCAUUUUCUAGCUCUAAAGCCUAAUCGAACUAAUCCAGUCAGUGACAAAAUCUCUAGAGAAAACCAAUUGGUUGGGUUGGGUUCGGUUCAUGAGUACUAACCAAUUAAGCCAGUCAGAUUAUUCGGUUUGGUUAGAAAGCCAACUAUUUUUUGUUAAUUUGGUAUAAAAUCCAAAGUGUCUAAAAUAGGGUAUGCAAACCAAAAAGACAUUCGAUCAAUUUGGUUCAGUUUUGAUUAGAUUCAGAUUUUUCAGUAACACCUCUGGUUAUUAGGGUUUACUGUUUGGUGGAAGAGACAAAUAGGACUUGUAAGAGAAAAGAGGACGCAAGGGUGAUGAUCACACAGGUUGAAAGGGGUGGUGGGCUAUGCACCUUAUCAAAAAUCCAGGUUUGGUGGGACUAUAAACACUUUCCAAAACAUUUGGAUAAGUCCUCGAAGGUGCAAAGGGCCCCCCAUAUGUACAAUUCAACUCAACACCCCCACCCACUUGCCUGUUUCCAUUAUCAUUCACCAAAAACCCUAAACUCUCUUCUAGUGUUUUCAACUUUCCUUUUGGGUCUUGUUUGGUUAUUCAAAAAUAGCAAGAAAAGGAAGAUUUUGUUAUGAAUAAUGAUUUUCCUAUUUUUAGUGUCCAUGAAGAAAAUCCAAUAUGUUUUUAAAUUAUUUAAUUUUUAUGUAACGGAAAAAGUAUAUAAAAUCUAUUUUUAUUUUCUUUAUUUUAAAGAAAUGAAUACAUAAAUGUCUUCUUUUUUUUCUUUUUCUUUUUAUACCAGGCCUAAAAUUAAAUUCCAAAAAUGUAGCUGUUAGAUUUUUUUUUUCUUUUCUGGGGGGGGGGGGGGUUAUUAAGAUAAUAAUAAAUUGAAUUUUUCGAAAUACCUAUUUAGGAUAUGUUUGAUUUUUGAAAAAUUUAAAGGAAAUAAAAAAAAUAAAAAAUUGAAAAAAAAUUCUUUUAUUUAAUUUUGCAUGAAAUAUUUGAGGGAAAGAGAUCAAACUUAUUAAGAAUGCAUCUUUUUCCUUCUUUUUUCUUUACCUUCUUCAUAAUAUGAAAACAUAAAAAAAAAAUAUUUUUCUAGAUAUUUUUUCUUUUUCUAAUACUUUUUAAGGGGUUUCUUAUUAUUAAAACUUGAUUUGGUUUUUGUUUGAUUUUUAAAAUUUUAAUUGAAAAUUCUAGGAGAAGAUAGAGAAAAAAAAUUAAAGAAAAGAAAAAGUAAAAAUAAAAAUAAAAAUAGAUUUAAAAUUAAUAAAUUGUUUUUAUACAUUUUCAAAUCCGUUUAACUAUAUAUAUAUCAAAUAAUUUAAAAAUGUAUAAUUAUUUUUUUAUAUAUAUUCUAUGAUAAAUUAAAUAUGAAAAAAUAUUUUUUUUUAAAUUUUUAGUUUUUAUUUUUUAUUUUCUUACUAUUUUCUUGGAAUCCAAUGUGUGGGAAGCUAAAAAUUCUUUUUUAAAUUAAAAGGAGGUUGACCUUAAAGGAAAUAACAAGGUUGUUUCCCCAUAGACAACUUAUCCAAGAAGUACCAUGAAACUUUAUCAAUAAAAAACUGUUUGUUUGAAAUUAUGACCAAAGCUUUAAUUUCUACUUUUGGCUAAAGUAAAGUGCCAAAGGUUACCCUAAAGAAAAUAUCUAGAAAAAUUUAUCAUAUGAUAAUGGAGAAAAGAAUGAGUUGCUAAUCAUAGAAUGAGAGUAGGAAGAUGCAUAACAGUAUGGCAAUAAUUAAGGUAGGGUUGCAGGAUUUUUAAUGAAAUCCUUUUUGCAAUUCCAUUUUCAUUUAGGAGAAAAUCAAUAAUAUGACACUUUUUUUGGUAGAAGUUCUAUUUUCAUAUUCAGGGAAGCUUUUGUAACACCAAUACUACUCUUUAAAAAUAAUAAUUUUUUGGUUUCUACUUUAGUUUUCAACUAAAACAAAACAAAAAAUUAAGGCCUAUUAGGUAAUUAUUUUAAAAAAUAAUUCUGAAAAACAGUUUUUGAAAAUUGUUCUUUGAUGUUUUGUGAAAAAAAAGUUUGUUUGAGAACCUGAAAUAUUUUUCACAUAUUUUUAAUAUUUUUGAAUAUAUUUUAAAAAUAAAUUUUAUAUUCAAUGUUUUAUUUUUAAUCAUUUUACAUGCUUAUAUAAUUACUUAUUUAAAUAACUCUUAGAAAAAAAAUUGAAAAUAACAAAAAACAAUUCAAAGUUGUUUUCUGAAAACACUAUUUUUCUGUUCUUAACAAUAAAAAAUAGUUUAUAGCUGUCAAACAUUUUUUUUUGUUUUUUCAUUAUAGAUAAUAGAAAACUGUUCUGGAAAAGAAUUGUUAAGCAAACCCUAAGUGUCUGUUUCAAUAUAUUUAGUAUUUUUUUGUUUUUAAAUAUAAAAAAUAGUAGUAACUUAUACAUAAAAUACAAAAAUUGUUAAAAAUUUAUAUUAGUUUAGAGUUAGGGUUAAAAAUGUAAUGUUUUUAAAAAAAUUAAGGAAUUAAAAAAAUAUUUCUACCUCUAAUUUUAUAAUUUUUUAAAAUAAUUUUUAAGGAUAUAAGACAACUCUAUGCUUUUUGUACAAGAUUUUUUACAUUUUUAUUUAAAAGUUUCUAUUUUUAAAAACAUAGAAUAAGAAAUAUAUCCAAAUGAAGGCCCAAAAAUUUUGUUUUGAAUUAUUCACGAAGAUAUUUCAUAUCUAAUGAAAAUUUCAUACCACAAAAUAUUAUCUUUUGAAAGCUAUUACUUUGGAUUAAGCUUAAACUUUUAGCCAAAAUAUCAAAUAGCAAAAAUGUUGUCUUAAACAAACCCUAGGUCCCGUGUGAUAACCCUAUUUGAUAAUUGUUCUUGAAAUCGGUUUUCUGAUUUUGAAAUAUAUUUGAUGAAUAUUUCAUAGAAAACAUUUGUUUUUAGAAUUAUUUCUUAAAAUAGGUUGUUUUUUUACAAUGAUUUUGAGAUGUUUUGAGCUAUUUGUUCAAGAGUUUUUAGAGCAAUAAUUGAAAAAUAUAAAAUAUUUUAGAAACUUUUGAAUUAUAUAUAAAUGUAUAAUUUAUUUAUAGAUAAUAAUAAUCUAAGAACAUUAUUUUUUUUAUUUAAGAUUUCAAACAAAAGUUUGUUUUAAAAAAAUAAUUAAUAUUUAUUUUUCAAAAUUAUUCUCAAAAAAUGUUUUGAAAACAUUGGCUACACAGACCCAACGAGUAAAAGUCGCUUUAUAAAAUUAUUCUCAAAACUAUUUUUUGAUAACAUGGUCAUGCAUAUCUUAAAUUACUCUCUAAAUCCUUCAAUUCCUUAAAGAAAAUUUAACUUAUAGACAAAAUGAUAGGAAAAAUGUCUAGAUACAACUGGCCACAUGGGAAGUGGUUGGUAUUCUUUGUUAGGUACCAAACCUUAUACACAUCCUCCAAUUCCCAUUCAACAACACAAAGCUAAAGAGUUUUCCUUCUUAUAUCCUACCACCACCACUAUUCAAUUUUCCCCACAUUGCAAUGACUAGUCAGUUGUGUUUUUUUUUUUUUUUAAUUAGAAAAAAAAAAAAAAAAAACCCUAAUGGAGUAUUGCCUUUUCUUCCAUGAUUGGUGGUCAAUGUUGGUGUCUUAUUGAGGAAUUGUCUCAAUUCCCCAACCCUCAUUCAUCCACCUUCAUGUCUCCCACACUUUAGAGAAAUGAUUUAUGAUUGCCAACUCUUAUAUGGCCAAAACUAGUUUGUUUGUUUGUGUAAUGAGUUGGAUGCAUGUCUCUUAGGGUUUAUAGAGUAAAAAAACCUAGUGAAUAGAGCCCCAUGAAAGGAAUCACUAUUCCCUACUAGUAAAGUUGCUUUUGUCAUUGAAAAACAUGGAGGAUCUUUGGUUGAAUUGGACUUUAGAGCUAUUUGUGGUAGGGUCAUAGUAAAGUUGUUUACUUUGGCAUUUGUUAUGAAAUAAUAAUACCAUAUUCUCUUAAAAUAACCCUUUAACCAAACAAAACAUAGGUUAUAGGUAUCUUACAAAAUUAUUAUUCAAAGUAGUCAUUUCUUUUCUUUAAAUUAAUUUGAAACCCAUUUUUUAAAAUAUAAAGUUUAUACAAAUUUGAAAUCAUAGUUUGAAAACACAGUUUCUAAAUUUGUAUUAAAGUCAUUGUUCGAAGAUGCAAUUUCAAAUAGGUUUCUGUAAAAUAUAAAAAUAAAAAUUAUGUCACGUGGCACAUAGAGGGUAAUUUUAAGCAUUUGUGUCAAAAGUGACCCAUAAUGUAUAUUUUAAUGAGAAUAAGAAUCACUUUAAACUCAAACUCAUAUUUUAAUGUAUGAAAAUAAUUGAAAAUAAUUUUUUUUGGUGUAUAUGUAUAUUUUUUAAUUAUUGCUUAGGAAAAUGUUAAGGUACCGAAGUGGUACCCUAUCAAAUAAGAAAUUUGGUCAUUAAAAUAUGUAUUAUUAGAUUUAGGUUAUUAAACAAUAGUACAAAUGAAUGAACUCAAAAUAUAAAAAUAUAAACAAAGAGGAUCAAUGUACAAAUAAAGAAAUAAAAAAAUUAUAUACGUGGUACCACCCAAUUGAUGGUUCUUUUCGAUGAGUAUUGAAAAAAUAUCAUUCUAUAUUAUAAUAGAUCUAUAACCUAUUGCUUAUUUUAGAUAGUUUAUAGUUUUUUAACUACUCGUUCUUGGAGUUAAAAGUUCUUUUAAUAAAAGUGAUUGAAACCCCUUUUUAAAAACAAAGUUUUUAACUUUGAUAAGAUGAAAUUCAAAUAGAAAUUCAUUUUUAUUCGAAAAGUAAUAAUAACUAUUGAAAUUUAAUAAAGAUAUAUUUUCAAAUAUCUAAUUACCCACAUUUUAGAAAUUUUCAUCACUUUUAACAUUUUUUUUUAUUUUGAAUUAUUUGUUAAUGAGUAUUUAGCAUGAAAUCUCUUCUACAUUUUUGUUUAUCUAAAACAAGAAAAAAAAAAUUACACCUCAUCUAACUUUGUGUGUGAACUUGAGGAAAUAAAUGAAAUGAAUGAAGAAAAAAAAAAUCAAAUCUAUUAUAAUUAUAGAGAAUAUUUAUUUACCAUUUUUUGACAAUCUAGUAUUCAGGAAGAGAAAAAAAAAGGAAUGUAAAAAAAUUAAAAAUAAAGGAGUAGAGAAAAAACAAAAUGUGUAAUUAAUCAAGCAAGAAAAAAAAACACAAUUACUACAUUGGUAUGUUUCUUGGUGACACCAAAGGGAUCUUUUAUAUACAUUGACUCCAUGAAAAUCACAUUUAAAAAGUAAAUAUAAUAAUAUCCUAAAAGUUGGGAAAGCAUCUUCACAAGGCUCUAGUGCUAGCUAGCAUGCAUUUGUAACAUUAAAAAACACCUUUUUUGUUUUUUUUUUUGGUGGAUUCUUACAUUUCUAAUCAUAUUUUGUUUGAAACCUAAUCAUAGAUGACCACCACACCAAAUCUUUGAGUACAAUGAUUCUUGAUUGAAAAAGAAAAUGAGGGGUUCUAUUCCAAUUGAACAAGUUUCUUACAUGAAAUUUAUUUUAAAAAUUUUAAAAAUUUACAUCAUAUGCCACUGAAUAUGUUCAUCUAUGAACCAUUUUAAUAAGUCUAAUAAAUAAAGUUGAUAAGAAAUUUUUAUAAUAUUUAUAUGCUAUCAUAUUCUCAUGGGUAAAAGUCUAAAUGUCACAUGGGUCCUUGGAAAAAUGAUAUAAAUAUUUAAUAUUUUCCUAAAUGGAUGAAUGCCCAAAAUAAAAUAUUUUGAAUUCCUCGUGUUGUCAAGUAAAAUCAACAAAAAUUGAAAAACCGAUCCAAGUCAAUCGAAACUAACCAUAUCGAUCCAAUUUUCGAUAAUCAUAAAGAUCGACUUGAUUUGAGAAUUUUGAAAACUGAUUUCAUGGUUUGGUUUAUGGUUUUUGGUUUUCAGUUUACGGUUUUCUUAUCGCCUAGCUAAUAGAAACUAAAUUAACAUUUGUUCAAUAUUUGAUGAGUUUUUCUAUAUUAAAAUUUAUUAAAAUAAUUCAUUAUUUUUUAAAUAUAUUCAUUAUAUUUUGGGUUAAAACCUUAAAUACAUUUUAACAUUCAAAUUCAAGUUGUUUUAGUUUUAUGAAUAAAUUUGUAUCCAACAAACUAUUUAAAUCAAACUAAAUCAAUCUUAAUUAAACUUCGUUUAUUUUGAUUUUUCCAUCACUAAAAGGUUAGUCGACUUUAAUUUCUACCCCGAAUACAAACCAAACCACACCUUUUUAUACCCCUAACUAUACUUUAUUGAACUCAAUAAAUAAAACUACCAUUUAUUUAAAAAAAUUUAUAGUAUCCAAAUGCUACCAUAUUAUCAUGUCACAAAAGUUUAAAUGUGGUAUGAGUGCUUGAAAUAUAUUCUAACUUUCCUUAAACCAUAUAAUAUUUAACAUCAAUCCUAAUAGUAAGCUAGAAAAAGUUAAUUCUUAUUCUUAUGACAUGAAAAUUAAGGAGAUUAUAGAAGACAACAUCGUAGAAUCAUCCUCUUUAAUUUGAUAUCAAUCUCUUCACAAAAGGAACGAUCGUUUUAUGAAAUAAAGCUCAUACUCAAUAUGCCUAUUGUUCCUCCUUUGAGUAACAUGGAUUAUGAAAUAUAAUUCCAAUGUUUAAUCAUGAAAAAGCAAAUCAUUAUUAAAAAAAAAAGAUGACCAUUUAAUUUUGCUUAGUCAAAGAUUUGCCCCAAUGACCUUUUUCACUUUACAGAUAAUAUUAAGUAUAUUUUAGAUGUUAAUCAUGUGGACCUUAUCAAUCUAAUAUUUUUUUCUUUGUGGAACAUUACUUUAUCAAUUGUUUUGUCAUUUUUUUGGUGGGCAAUCCAACAAAGAUCUCCAAAGAUGAUUACAUGUAUAGUCCUUUAUGAUGGAUGUCAUGUACUUAAUUUAUUUUAAUUUUUUUUUAGAUCUUCAAUUUUUGAUUUGGUAUAAUCAAAUUUACAUUUAAUUAAGAUCACCCUUUCAUUAAAAAUUACAUUUUUUGAUAUAAUAUCAAGUAUCCUCAUCCAAUAUAAUUUUAACACAUAUAAAAUAAUGUAAUUUAUGGUAUAAAAAUGUAAAUAAUGUUGGUAUAUAAUAAUGUGGUUCUUAAAUCUAGAAAUAGGCCAUCCAAAUGAUAAUGAUGUCAUAUGGUAUAUAAUAAUGUGAUUCUUAAAUCUAAAAACAAGUCAUCCAAUGGGUAGUGAUGUUGGAUGCUAUAAAACAUUUGAUCUAUCUUUACUGAAUGUUAAUUUAUUUUCAAACAAAAUGAUCAAAACCAUCAAAGAAUUUAUACAUUCAUAUUGGAAAAAACAAAGUGAUUUAUGGUAUCAAAAUGUAAAUAAUAUUGGUAUGCAACAAUGUUGUUAUUAAUCCAAAAACAAGUCAUCCAAAUAAUAGUAAUACUGAAUGUUAUAAAAUGUUUGAUCUAUCUUAAUAGAAUUUCAAAAUAUUUUCAAAUGAAAUGAUCAAAACUCAAUUCAAGAAUUUGUAUUCAUAUUGAACAAAAAUUCUUAAACACUAAAUAGGUUACCCAAAUGAUAAUGACUAAUCCCAACCCAACAUUUUUCUCGUUAUUGAAAAAGUUACCUUAAACUUUCAAAAUCUUUAGAAUUAUAUGAUUAAUUCUUAUCUUCAAAAUGAAAAAUGCAAUGUCCCUCGAACAGUGGAAAAAUGGAUUCGUAGGAUUCCUUCAAUUAAUAAAAUAUUCAAAUUAAAUUUUGAUAAUUCAAGAAUAGAGAAUAAAAUUGGAUAAGGAUGAGUUAUUAAAAACUCUAAUAGAACUAUUAAACUGGCUGCAAGUAGGCAUAUAGACAAUGUUUUAGUAAUUAUUGUAAAAUGUAUAAUUUUAAGAGAUGACACACUUAACUGCUAAGAACAAUGAGUUCAUAAACCUAGAAAUUGAUGGUUAUUCAAAAAUAGUGAUAGACUAUUAUAAUAUAAAAAAUAAUAUUUUUAGUUUUAUUAUGUUAUUAAUAAAGGGUAUUUGAAAGUUAUUUCAAAAUCUAAAUAUUUACAAUUGUCAUCAUAUUUAUAGAAAUAAAUCAAACAGUAGAUUGUUUAGCUAAAAAAAUGUAUUUGCAAUAUUGAAUCGAUUAUUUAGUAGUCAAAUUUUCAUAAAAAUGUUACCAAGUUUGGUUUCCAAUAUUAUUAUAACUCGUAUUUUAAUCGAAUUUGUAAGUAUUCUGUUUCGUAUUCUUUUUUCAUAUAAAAAGUAAAAAUAAAAGAUAAUGACGGAUCAUCAAGAAUCAAUCCGAUAGAGUAAAGGGGAAUUUUUUUUUCUAUAAUUUUAAAUUAGAAUAGCACUAAAAAUUAUUUGUUUGCUCCCCUUUGGAUGAUUGAUGUGAAGGAACCUUAAAUCCAAUGCUUAUGUAAGAUAUGAGCAAAGCCAUAAGUCAAAACUCAAUGUUUAAUUAUUGAAUCUGACUUUUUCUAGAUAUAGCUAGCAAAAGGAAAAAAUUAAUUAAUUCUCACCAACUUAUAGAAAAAAUAAAAAGAACAUUAUCUUUAUUAUGGGGGAGAGAUGGGGACUAAGCCCCACCAUGAUGACCUUUGACAGGAGAGGAAAAUUAUUGAAUUGGGAUGGGCAGCUAUUUGCUCAUACUAUGAGAAAAAAAAUAAUUUUUUUUUAAAAUGUUAAUUUUACAAUUAUCCUUUGUUGGUGAGCUUCUUGUUACCUAAAGAGGGAAAUGGUUUAAAAUUUUAAACAUAAAAGUUUAAUACAAAAUAUAUUUAAUGAGAUUGAAGAUACAUAUUUGGCAUGGGUUAACCAUCUAACUUGUGUAAGCCUAGGUUUUGGACAUUAGCAAAUAAAUAUAUUAUUUUAUUUUCGAGAAUCGAUUCUGAUAUCAUUUGUAACAAUCUACUUCCAAUCGUGUAGAUAUUGUCUACUCUAAGCCUAAAAAGACUUUCACAACUUUAAAACACAUCUAUAUAAUUAAGAAUAACCCAUAAUUAUAUUGCAUUAGAAAAAUAAAUCAAACAAAGUUUGAUUAAAAUUGAUUUACUUUAAUUUAGAUUAUCGGUUUGAUGCAAAUUAAUUUAAAUCUUAAAUAUAAUUUAUUUUUAAAAUUAAUUGAAAUUAACUUAAACUUGAAAUUCAAAAUAUAUUUAAUAUUUUUACCCAAAUAUGAUAGAUGUAUUUAACAUGAAUUUCAUCAUAGUCUAAAAAUAAUAUAUUUUCUCAAUAGAGUCUAAUAAUAAAAAGAAAAACCUUAAACAUUAAACUAUUAUAAAUAAGUAUUUUAGUUUGGUUUUUAUCGAUUAAGAAACAAACAAAUAAAAAAUUGAACCAACAAAAUUCUCAAACCAAACAUUAAACUCGUAAUGAUAGCUAUGGUUUGCUUUCUUAAAAUUUUCAAAAUCCGAGGAUUGAAGUUCAUGUAAUGGGUACAAUUUUGGGAGAUUUUGUCAACAAACUUAAUCAUAUCUCAAUUGAAUAAUUAUAUUACUUUAAACUAUAAUAAAGAUAUUCUUUAUACUAAUCAUGAUUACUUUUUGAAUACUUUAAAAGUUAUAUGGUAAGCUAACAAGCUCCAAGUGAAAUGUAUUGGAAUCUAUGAACGCACAAUGACUAGUCAAACAUGAUAAAAUAUAAUUACCAUCCGUUUGCUCAUAAGAUAUAAUUUUUUUUAAAAUAAAAAACUUCUAUAUUUAAAAGUAGAACAUUCAAAAAGUGUAAAUUUACUUUAUGGUACAAAAAUAAAAAAAAUUAAAAUAUAGGGUUGUAAGAAAAUUUUUAUAUCUCAAAUUUUUAAAAAUUAUUGUAUAUUAUAUGAAAGUCAAUACCGUUUUUUAUUUUAAAGAUAGAAAACAUAAAUUAUAUUCAACUGAACUCAGAACAAACUUUUUUUGGAGUCCUCGUGGCUUUAAAAUCCAUCUACUUAGUUAAGAGGAGUACAUAUCAAAUAUGAAAUAUCACAAAUACCUUAAUGUAGAUUCAAUGUUUUCUUAGGUAGAUACAAUGUUUUUGUCGUGUCCCACGUGAUCACAAAGUCAAAUGACAAACACCUUUCAUGGGGCAAAACAAACUUCCAUAUCGGAGUUAAGGAUCAACUCUCAUACCAUUUUAUAAUGAUCUGCUUUGGGCCUAAUGAAUCUUUACGAUUUUAAAACUUGUUUACUUUGUUAAGAGGAACUCAUACUUAUAUAAUGUCAGAAACUUUAUCCCAUAUUUGAUAUGAGACAUCACAUUGUCUUUAUUAUGGUUUAAAAAAAUUUCAGUUCAUCUCAUAUUAAUGGUUAUAGUACUCGUUGGUUUUAAGAGUCGGUUUAGUAGUGAUUCUAUAAAAUGCUUAUAACCUUUAUAAUACGUGAAAAAAUUUAUAUUUCAAUUAUUAAAAAGUUAAAAAUAUUUUUUAAAAUCACUGUCAAAUACACUCUAAAUUCGUAUUGAUAUAUUGAAUUCCUAUUUUUCUUAUUUCACACAUAAAAUAUUUUUUUGUCAAAUACAGAAAAGAAAAUUAUUUGUUUUCUUUUUACCAUUUUUCUUUUUGAUAAACCACAAAUUCAACAUUUAUAAACAAGUUUUUGCUCCCUCGUGAUUUCAUAAUUAAAAUUUGUUUCGUUUUUAUGGUGGUUUUUACAAUUUGGAUUAUUUGUGAUAUUAUAAUGAAAAAUUUGACAAUACUUUUACCAUAUUUUAUAGAAUAGAUGUCUAUUUCUAAAUUUACAAUGUUUCAAUCUAUUUCUUUGUAUUUUUUAUUUUUUAAAAAAUGAAAUUUCUCUAUAUUUUGAUUUAUUUUCAAUUAUUUUUUCUAUUUGAAUAAUUAUUUUUAAAAAAUAGUGGAAAAAAAAUCCAAAUGCUAACUUAAAACAAUUAAAAUAUAUUAUCAAGGAACGAUAUUUUUAAAAGAAGCAUAUUCUUACUAUUGAAAGAACUUAGACAACGAUAAUCACACAAAAUAUCAUUCCACGUUUGAUGUGAUAACAAAAGAUGUUAUUCAAAAGUGAAAAGACUAACUCCAACAUUAUUAUUAUUAUUAUUAUUAUUUUUUGAAAAAUGUCAAUGUCAAAUGAGUAAAUUGUUGAACUUCAAUAUAUAUAAAAAUUUUAUUUGAAAAUUCUAGUAUGAAAAACAUUUUUCUUAUUUUAAAGUUAUUAUACACUUAUGUGGUUUUUUUUAAAUAAUUUUUAUCUCUUAAUUAAAAUUUACAAUAUUUUAUAAAAAAUAACUAAAACAAUUCAUUUUUUUUUUAAAAAAACAUUAUAAAUUUAUUCUAAAAGACAAUUUAUUUUCAGAAUAAAUUAUAAAAAACGAUUUUUAUCCCAAAUUUACUCAAAAUGUUUUUUUAGGAUAGAAAAAUUAUAAGAUUAUGUUCGGUCCUAUGAAAAUUAGAGAGAAGAUGUGAAGAAAAGAAAAUAGAGAGAAAAAAAAUAUAAAAAAGAAAAAGUGAAGAAAAUUAAAAAAUAUAUUUAAAGUUAAUAAAUUAUUUUUAUAUAUUAGUUUAAAUUUAUUUUAUAUAAAGAUUAAAUAUUUUAAAAUUUAUAAAUUUAUUACUAAUUAAAAUUUUCUUUCAUAUUUUUAUGAUAAAAUCAAACAUAAAAAAAUUAUUUUUUUAGUCUUACAAUUCCAAACUUUUUCAAGAAUCACCUUAAUUUUCAUGAGAUGCAACUCUCUAAUUUAGAGUUCAUUUAUUUACAAAAUUUAGGAAGUACUUUAGAAAAAUAUGAAAAACCAUUUAUAUAAUAAAAAUCACUUGUAUGUUUUUUUUUUUUAGAGAAGCACUAUGAGUUUGUUUGACAUAAAAUUAUUUUUAGAAUAAUAGAAAAUAGUACAAACGAUAUUUUAACACUACAAACGCCUUUUUAGAUUUAAAAAAUUUUUCAAAUAUUUUUAAAACACUUUUUAAACUAAAAAUAUUUAAUAAAAUCAUUAUCAAACGUGCUCUUAAAAGGUAAUUCAUUAAAACGUGCUCUUAAAAGGUAAUUCAUUAAAAAUACUUUGUGAGAAAAUACCUUCAUUACAAAUAUUUUGUAUGAAAACAUUCCUAAUCCAAUUAUUAAUAUUAUGAAAUAAUUUAAAAUUACAAAAAAAAUAUAUUUUAAUAAAUAAAUAAAAGUAAAUCAUUAAAAAAGAUUUGUCUCCGGGUUUUAUUGAAAAAGAAAUUGAAAAGCAUUGUGGAGCAGUCCCACCUACUUUUUAAAGUUCCAAAUCUCUCUUAGAAUAAAAAGUGAUUCUAACAUGGUGUACAGUACUUUAAACCAGAAAUGAAUUAAUCAGAAAUCAAUCCAACCUCCCAUGAACAGUGCCACGUCGACUCGGAGUCUCCCAUUCUGACUGCUACUUCUCCAUUCAUUUUCACUCGAAGUAAAGUAUUCUCACCACCGUGUCAUCCAAUCACCAUCGAGAACGUGGCCCAAAGGAAUGUCAUUUCUUCAAUAAAUAUUAUAUCAACCACAGACUCUGUGUCAGACUAUAAAUACGGGGAGGAGGGAGAGCUUCAAGUCCAGCGGGCGCACAGGACGUCCGGCUGUUUUUCACUCUCCAUCUAUCUAUCUAUCUAUCUAUCUAUCUCUCUCUCUCUGUUCUCUAUUCCCUAUGGACUGCUGGACUGCAGUCUGAAGAAGGUGUGGUCUCUUUCACCUGCGUCCAGGUGUUUUCGGACCGCUCUCUAGUCACUUUCUUGCUUGAAACUUCGAUUCUCUUGUUUUUUCCCAUUAUCUUUGAUAUGGAUGAUUUGUAUAGACUCCAGCAUGAAGGCAUCUCCAUCUCUGGUGCCAACGCCGCUGCUGCGACCAUCGAUUUCCGCAGAUCAGUGGAGAACAGUAACGUGUACCGGUUCGAAUCGGUGGAAACGGAGGCCGGUAUGUCGGAUCUGAUCAAGUCUCAGAUCGUCAACCAUCCUCGGUACCCUAACUUAGUCUCCGCCUACAUUGAGUGUCGAAAGGUUGCCUCCAUGCUUCUCUCUCCAGUCGCUUUCAAGGCGCUUUUUUUUUUUUUUUUCAUCUCCUCAGUUUCAUCGCUGCUUUUUGAUUUUUUUUUUUCUUUUUUUGCCUGUUCUUCCUUUUGCAGGUCGGAGCGCCGCCAGAAAUGGCGUCGCUGCUGGAAGAAAUCGGCCGAGAGAGUCAACCGAUGAACAGUCGCAGCGGAGAAAUUGGUGCCGAUCCAGAACUCGACGAGUUCAUGGUAUUUACCUUGAGAAUUAAAUCCCAAAAAUUCUCAAAAGCAGAAAAAUUCGACAGAAACGAACUACGAAGAGGAUUAUAGUAAUGAUUUGUUGUUUUUUCUUCUUCUUUGAUUUGGAUUUUUGAUUUUUUUAAUUCUCUUUUGGUGUUUUCGAAAGGAAUCGUACUGUGAGGUUCUUCAUAGAUACAAGGAGGAGCUCUCGAAACCCUUCGAUGAAGCGACGUCGUUUUUGAGCGACAUCGAGUCGCAGCUCAGUAACCUCUGCAAAGGAGCGUUGACGGCGGGGACCUCGGGAAGCUACUACUCUGGUAUGCGCAUUUUAUCAUGCCUUUGCUUAACCUGCGCUUUCUGGUAGGCGAUUGGGUGGAGUUUAACAACCUUAACCUUUCUGUUACUGUGCGCACGUUAGAGAAACAGUGUUUUUGGUGAAACGCUGGUCGCCUAUAAAAUAAGCUGGGUCACGUCCUACACGAAUAGGGGGGGAGGGCGGGGAGAUCUUUUAUAUUGAUUAAUUUAAUUUUUUUUGUUUUAUAUGCGAUGAUGAACUAAAGAUGGUAAACGUGGUUUCUUCCGUACAAUCUAUGUUUUGAAUUUUGUGCCAUCAAUGAAUCACUGCACUGCAAGAACUGUAGCAUAGUAUGAAACCCUAGUCAGAAAUACUUGAAGAUACAUGGAUAUGUAUACAAUGUAUUGUUAGGGCUUAGGAGUCUGAUUUUUCAGGUGUUUCAUGGUGGGUAUAUGGGUGUGCUUCAAAAUCAUUAUGCUUGUGUACUUAUGAUUCCCAUGUUAAUCAUGACUUCCAUCUGUUUGUUUUUCCUUUGCUUCUGAUAAUUAUGAAAAUCUCAACGGAUUAUUUUUGGUUCUGCUGUGGCACAUGUUUCGGUAUCGGCUGUGUAAGGCUGAAGAGGUUAUCUAAUCUACUAACUUCAACGGUUAUAUUCUACUAUUAUGGCCGGAGCAACAUGGGUUUGUUCAUCUAGAAAUUUCCUUUUUGAUUAAUUUCAUGAAUUUCCAUUGUGUGCUGUCAUGCAUUCUCUUUUUUUUUUUUUUGAGUAAAAUGUUUAACGGGUUAGCUUUUUUUAAACCGAGUUACUAAAAUUGCAUUCCACUGUGAAUUUAUUACUUUAGUUCAUUUCUAACCUUGAUUUAUCUAGAUAUGUUCCUCAUAUUAACUUUACUCGUGAAAAAAUUUAUUUGUUUAAAAUGGUGUGUACCAAAUUAAGGUGGUCAUGUGGUGCCAUGAAUGUUCAGCCAGUCACAUGACCUCUGCAAGUUCUACACAUCUUUCUUUGGUAACGGACAGCCAUGCAGGUUUUCUUGGCUUGUGGUUGCAAGUUCCAAUGUCUCCCGGUGUCAAGUUACUUUGGUCAGGAGGAGUUGUUUUCAGUAAACUAUCAUUUAAAAUAAUUUGAUUUAAAACUUUGGAGGUUUUCUUUUUCUAUUUAUACUUUACUACUGUCCUUUCCAUUUCCUUUACUGCUUUAACAAAUAAAUACAGCAGCUUUAUAUUAAUUAGGUGUUAUAAAUGCAUCGAUUUCUUCAGAUGCUCAAUUUUCCCUUGUCUUGUGUUGAAAUCUUCUUUGUUCAUUUCCUUAUCGACGUGUUGAAAGAGUAUGUGUUUCGUGGAAAAAAAAAAAUCAGUACGAAAUGCUAUACAGUGCUGAGGGAGACAGUCUCAUUCUGUCAUUAAUUAAUAAGGAUAUAUUUUUUGUUAGCCAUUUGAGUUUUAUCCAACACAGUUUUACCUUUUCUUUAUGCAUUUUUACCUGUGGGGGCAAUAAGUUCUUUCAGUUUACUCUUGAUAUUGCCUGGACAAACCUACAAUGCCUGUGACUGUUAUUUCUUCUCUUAUGUGGGUUCUGGCAUAGUGUAUCACUGUAAAUAAACAGUACCCUAAGUUUUGUUUGCUUGCAAUACUUAGUUACAAGCUAAGGUUAACCCUCCAGUUCCAGGUUCAAGCUAAGGUUAAUCCUCCUUUGGUUCUGGAAAGUCCUAGGCCUAAAUUUUGGUGUCUGGGUUACCAUACUGAAUCACAAGCUGUGGUUGACCAUCCAGUUCUCAAAAUCCUAGUCAUACCUCAGUGGAGGCAAGGCUUUGUUUCCAUCAUUCCAUGACUCUAGAUUUUGACAGACCCUUUUUUGUUAAAACGAUUUAUGCAUGCAGACUUUUGAUACCAAUGAGAGAAGCAUGAAGAUGGAUAAUAAACGCAAGAUCUGAGAAUCCAAUCUUGGGUUAACUACUCUUCAUGUUUCUCUCAUAUUUUUAUGCCAAGCAUGUUUUUCACAUAAAGCUGAGUUUUGCUUAUAUGAUCUGGACAUAGCUCUAUGUAAAAUAGAUUCUUCUUGUGUUCUGUAAGUAAAAUGGUAUGCACCAGAAUCUCAUAGGAUCUGUAUGGUAUUAAUCAGCACAUAACACGAGAAACUUAUCUAACUGGUAUAAAACAAAAUAGGUCAUUGAUAUUUGUGCAGCAUUAUGAUAAAUUCUGAUACUGCUGCCAAGUGAUCAACACUCUCUGGAGAAACUCACAUUUCAUUUGGACUGUUAUAUCCACCGUGGUUUUUGGUUGUUUCACCCCUCAAACAACAAACAGAAAUUUAGGGUAUCCUAUUAAUUAACCAUGUCUGCUUAAAAAUCACUAACUUGGCAAAUGUUGAUGGUUUCCCAUUAUAGAGCUUGAAACUGGUUGGUAAUAUUAUGUCAUAAGAAAUCUUUUGUCCAUCAUCUACCAAUAGUUUUUUUCUGGUAUGCUGAAGGUGACUGAGCAAUAGCCUUCACUACUCUUCAGUGUCCCUGUACAAACAAUUAUUAGCAGCUGAUCCUUCUGCUACUAGCAUCUCUUGCAAAUAAAUUGAGUAAGGUUUACAUGAUGUAUUACAAACAAGAAGCUAAAAGCUGAAACCAAGGCAAUUCAGGUGCUGCAUUUGUUUUAUUUUUGAGGUUGUUCUGCUGCAUUUGUUUACACUUGAAUGGCUUGUGUUUGACAUCUCAUGUGUGUUUGAAUGCUCAAACAAAUAAAUUAAAAUAUGGAAUAAUUGACACUGCAACUUGGUUGGGUUGGGUCCAGAUGGAGAUUAACCUGAGUCAUAAUGUUGCUUGGAUUAGCUAAGUGAUUAAUUCUUUUACAGCUUAUAUGUUUUGCUCAAUCAAUACUUGAAUUCUAUUGGCAGUUAAUUAAACAUACCCUAAUGGUGAUUUGCAAAAUAAUACAUUAAUGGAUACGCUGUAGAAAUACACUUCAAGAAUAACAUGAAAGCUUGUAAGAUGAAUAUGUACAGAAAAUAACUAUGAUUUUAGUAUAAAAAGUUGAAAUAAGUAAACAGUUAGGAUUUUUUUUUUAAAAUCAUUAAAAGAGAGUCAAUUUCUCAGGAUUUGUUUUAUUAAUUCCUUUAUAUUUAUUCACCAUUAUAGUCCCAUUAUGUAUAAAAAUAUAGCAAAAGUCGUGUCAUAGCAAGAGUUGAAUGUUAUAGGAAUUCCAUGUCAACUUUAGAUUUUUUGCAUUUCUUUUGACCAAAAAAUGUUCUCUCCUCUAUAUGAAUAUAGUCAUAUGAUAUUAAACUUGACCAGAGUUGAAUGUUAUAGGAAUUCCAUGCCAACUUUAGAUUUUUUGCAUUAUUUGAUGGAAAAAUGUUAUCUCUCCUCUAUAUGAAUUAGUCAUAUGAUAUUGAACAUAUAUAAAAUCAUAACAUAUGUAUGUUAGUAUGUAUAUGGAUGGGUUCCAGCUGGAUCAGGUUGCCUAUUGCCUUUAUGCAAGCCUAACCCAAGGUCAAGUUGGAAUUCCCCUAUCCAAAAUUUUGCAGUUGUUGUCAGGGUUCAAUGCAUCAGUUGCAGCCAUGGAAAUUAUGAUUCUAUGUCUUAAGGCAAAUAUUUUUCUUAUGAAGAAAAGCUUUCCCAUCAAUUUGGAUGUAACAUGUGUAAUGUAACAUGCUCAUACAUUUCUCACUUGCAGAUCAUGUUGACUAGAUGCAAUUUGGCUUAAAAAAUAAAUGUGUGUUUCUGUUGUUUCAAAUUUAUUUUUACCUUUUACAUGGUUCCCCCCUCUGAAUUGAUUUUAAAAUUGUUUUAAAGAAAGCAAGAGGUUUUCUUGUGUUGUGAAGUGUGACAAUGGAAAAAAAAAAGUCUAAUACCAAGAUAAAUAAAGCCCGUCUGAAUUGUUUGGGUCUGGCUACAUGAUGAUGAGAAGAUUUGUUGGUUGCAUAAAUGUAUUUUGUGUGGCAUAAGACUUCAACAAUGGUGAUGGUUAUUUUUUUAGUCAAUAUUAAUCCUUGUUUUCUAGCUGUGAGAUCAUUGGAUUUUUUAUUUCAGUCGGUUCCAGCUAUUAAAUAAAAGUAACUUGUGUCUUUUUUUGACCUAUGAAAUGAACUAUCCUUUAUAUAUUCUGAAUUAUUCAUAUAUCAUGGAUGCAAAAUUCAGAGGUUCAUGCAAUGCAAUGGACUUUUUUCAAGUCCCAUAUAUUCUUGUCUUUUCAGAUGAAGCAGCUGGGACUUCAGAGGAGGAGUUAAGCUGUGGAGAGGCAGAAGUAUCUGAAAGUCAAGAAUCUUUGGGUGCUCGCCCAGGUGACCAGGAGCUUAAGGAAAUGCUCAUGCGCAAGUAUAGUGGCUACCUAAGCAGUUUGAGAAAAGAAUUCUUGAAGAAACGGAAGAAAGGUAAGUUACCAAAGGAUGCAAGGACAAUGUUGCUGGAAUGGUGGAAUACCCAUUAUAGAUGGCCAUAUCCCACGGUAAUUAAUUUAUGAUACGAUCUUUCUUUUUCUUUAUUUGUCUUUUUUUUUUAUUAAGGAUUUCUUGGGGCACGUGUUAUGAUACAUAAAGUUAAAAGGUUCUUGGAUCUGUGUCAUGUGCAACUUGGAAACAAUAAGGAUGAAACAAACAUGAAAAAGAGACGUACAAAAUGAACAAAACCUUGUUUGCAUGAGUCAGCUGGAGUAGGGCCACACCCACAAGUAAAGGUGUUCCAAGCCUUAACAUAGUGGGGCAUAUAAACGCAGGGGCCCUACCCAUGAUGCAAAACAUACAAGUUCAAAGACACCAAAACACCACUCCACGGCCUUAAGUAAAGUUGUUCCUGGAACCUUGACAUAGUGGGGACUGAAGAUGCAAAAUCCCUGAGAGCCAAAGGCAAAAUACCCGACUUCCAAUACCCCAAACACCACCUUUCUGAUACUAAAUAAACUCCUGCAGUUGAUUUGGGACACAAAAUCCCUGAGAGCCAAAUGCAAAAUACCCAACUUCCAAGACCCCAAACACCACCUUUCUGAUACUAAAUAAACUCCUGCUGUUGAUUUGGGGUCUUAUGCUAAAGAAGUCCCAAAACCUUUACUUAAAAACAAUGUUGUCUAAAAUACUGAAGUUUUAAUUCUUGUAUGUGAAUGAUCUUUAACAAAAAGUAGAAAACAAUGGACCUUCAGUAUCUCUGCAGCUAAACAUGAUGAUGUAGCAGUUUAUUGAAAGCUUAAACCCAGUUUUAUACACAAGACAUUUGUCAUUAGUUUUAAGUAGCUGCCUAGUAAAGCUCAAUUGUGAUGCUAUUAAACUAUGUUUCAGUGUAACAUCUUGGAUAGGUUUAUUCUCUUUCAACCUCCAAUUCCCCAUUAAUAUAAGCCCAUAUAGGAAUCAAUUCCAAAGAUAAUUUCAUAAGGAUGUUAAACUGGCAGUCCAACUAGAAGGUUAUACAGAAGUGUAGAAAACUGUUUUAUGCAUAUCUCCAAAACACGAGUAAGAUUUUAACCUUGAACUCAAACUAAAAACUCAUUAGGAUUUUGAGCAUAGGACCGUGUUUGAUCUAUAAACCUCAGGAGUAUAUAAUAAACUGAUGCACCUAUUGAGAUUCCAAAUCUUGACAAAAGUUCAUAUUGGAGUUGUAUUUAGAACUGCUAUCGCUGGGACACUUGUUUACUUUCAUUUCUGGACACGUAUCUGAAAAGGAUUGAUGAUGAUACAGGAAGAUGAGAAAUUGAAGCUAUCAGAGGUUACUGGACUAGACCAGAAGCAGAUUAACAACUGGUUCAUAAACCAGAGGAAGCGGCAUUGGAAACCAUCAGAAGACAUGAGAUUUGCUCUUAUUGAUGGUGUCAGCGGCAACAUGGGAGGAGGGCCCGUGUUCUUAGACACCAGGGGUGGAACUGGAAGCAAUAUUUGAUAUAUAUAACUUGGUUUGAACUCAACCUUCACAUUCUGUUCGGAGUGCCCCAUAUUCUCCUUUCUUUUUUCCUGUCAUUUAGAUGUCUCUUUGUUUGUGAAACUUACUCAUACGUAAAGGGUACCCCUUUCCUCAUUUGCUUCUGUUAUAUAGCAUCUCAAUCUCAAAUUCUUGGCCAGAAAAAAUCCGAUCACCCCGCCUCGUAUGCUGGUGCAUGUGCUUGAUUUUUAUCACC
This 49728-nucleotide long non-coding RNA is filed under the name Vitis vinifera (wine grape). RNAcentral's name for it is "long non-coding RNA (VVIN_LNC004425)". The record is from RNAcentral. Lineage: Eukaryota; Viridiplantae; Streptophyta; Magnoliopsida; Vitales; Vitaceae.